This 76410-nucleotide long non-coding RNA is filed under the name Homo sapiens (human). RNAcentral describes it as "non-protein coding lnc-TMPRSS2-83:2". Lineage: Eukaryota; Metazoa; Chordata; Mammalia; Primates; Hominidae. The record is from RNAcentral.
CGAAGCCCGUCCAGCUUCCUUGUGUGUACUUCACUGUGACGUCAAAGCCCUUGGAGCGGUAUGUGCUAGACCUGGAGAAAGAAAAGAAAAGCAUAUUGUAUUCAUUUUAUUUUAUUUUAUUUUUAUUUAUUUAUUUUUGAGACGGAGUCUUGCUCUGUCACCCAGGCUGGAGUGCAGUGGCGGGAUCUUGGCUCACUGCAACCUCCGCCUCCCGGGUUCAAGCGAUUCUCCUGCCUCAGCCUCCUGAGUAGCUGGGAAUACAGGCACACAUCACCACGCCCAGCUAAUUUUUGUAAUUUUAGUAGAGACGGGGUUUCACCAUGUUGGCCAGGAUGGUCUCGAUCUCUUGACCUUGUGAUCUGCCUGCCUCGGCCUCCCAAAGUGCUAGGAUUACAGGCGUGAGCCACUGCGCCCGGCUAAGCCCCUUGCAUUCUCUUAUGUAUCCAUGUUCCCGAACCAUGAAGAUAAGGUUGCCGUGUCCAAGGCAGCUAUCCUAAACACAGAAAGUCUACUGUAAGCCUGUAAGCCAUUCUUUAUCAUGAACAGCAUCAAUGUUAACAAAGUGACAGCUUCCCCCAAAAACAUAAUCGCUAAUGUUUUGGUAACAGUGUUUUCCAUGUCAUGUGGAAGGGACGCACUGGUGUAAACAUGUGGCUGGAGUUUAAUUUUUCACUAUACCCAAGUUAAACCCUAUAAGUCAGGUGCUUUGUUUGGCCACCGUAGGACACGACCCUUUGAAGGACACAACCCAAUCUGGCACCUGCCUGGCCCUCCGGCUUUGCAGGGCUGCUGUGCUGCUGCUGUGUGACACGGGUAGGUGCCGGCAUCCCAGAGGGAGGCUCCACCAGCCUGUGCCCGCAGCAGCUGGAGUUCAGGUUCACACAUACAACUCAUGUGACAAAUAAUGACCAAGCCCUACCUGCUGAAGCCCAGGUCCUUCAUGUCACAGGUCCUUCUCAAGGUUCUCCCCCAAUGCCCCAAAGGUGAUUAUACUCUCACCAAAAUAUGGGCAGUGACGCUAAUGGCAUGCCAGAACAUGAAUCACUGUGACAUGACCGAGAGCCUGACACUCACGUGGCCCUGGAGGUAAGAGCUACUGACGCAGAACGACAUUCACAAGAUCAGACGAAAGUCCUGCCCCCUCAGUUUAUGCUGCAGUGAGGAGAGAUAAUGAAUGCGGGAAUGGUGGUUACGGGACGAGAGCCACCCAGGGAACAAAGCAGGCAAGGGGACCUCAAGUGACCCAGUGGUUGGAGAGAACUCUUGGAUCCAACCAUGUUUGCAUGAGACCUGAAUGAAGACAGUGAGACCUGGGGCUCUCUAGGGGUAGAGCACUGUGGAGAGAGGACAGCAGGUGUCAUGGCCCUGGGGAGUCCCACCCUAUAAGGUCAUUCCUAUGCCCAUUUGAGUUUGAAAACUGCUGGAAUAUAGGAAGGAACCUAAGAAACAUCUCUAGGCAAAUGUCUAUGAACUCAAACCAUGCUCCUCCUAAGAAAAUAAUCACAAUUCUAAGCUAAAUAUCAAAUCACCCAGUAGAUCAUACUAAAGCGAUCCUGCUCACCUGCAGGCUUGAUUUCACUCUGUUUUAAUAAUCAGUCUGUGAACAUUAACACGUGUUAAUAAGUCUUUGUUGUGGGAUUACAUGAACUAGUGCAGUCUUGCUUAAGGUCAGUAAAGAAGUUUGGAGAUGACAUGAUCAUUUGUUCAUUCAUUCAUUCAUUCAUUCAUUUAUUAUUUCUUUUAAAGAAAAGGUCUUGCUCUGUCAUCCAGGCUGGAGUGCCAUAGCGCAAUCAUGGCUCACAGUAGCUUGAACUCCUGGGCUCAGGAGAUCCUCCCACCUCUGCCUACUGAGUAACUGGGACUACAGGUGCACACCAUCAAGCCCAACUAAUAUUUUUCUUUCUUUUUUUGCCGAGACAGGGUCUCAUUAUAUUGCCCGAGCUAGUCUCAAACUCCUGGGCUCAAGUAAUCCUCCUACCUUAGCCUCCCAAAAUGCUGGGAUUACAGGCAUGAGCCACCCUAUCUGGCCUUUUAUUCAUUAACUCAUUCUUGGUAUAUCUCAUAAGCAUCAAAAAUGUUAACUAUCUUUAAUUCAGUAACUGCACUUCUGAGAAUCUGACCCUAAGGAGACACCAGGAAGCAGACAGAGGUUCAUGUGCCAGGAUGGUCGUGAUGUUUUAUGUAUAACAGCAAACAGCUGGAAACCAUCCAAAUGCUCAGUAACAAGGAAACAGUUCAGUAAAUUACAGCAUAUCCAUAUGAUGCGCUAUUAUGUGCCAAGGGAAAAAUGUUUCUUUUUCUAAGAAAUUUUAAAUGAUGCAGAGAAAAAGUUAAAAGAAAAAUACGUCAAUGAGACAGACUCUCCUUCAAAACUAUUUAUUACACUCAAAUAUUAACAGUGGCCAGCUGGGGUGGCAGGAUUGGAGGUGGGAGGACUCCUAUUCUUGUGGUUAGGUCCCUCCAUGUUUGCAUGCAUUAUUUUUAUAAUCAGGAGAAAUAUGUUAUUUUACGAAGGUCUGGCAAACGGAUUUGGGGGAAACAGCUGAUUCUAACUUCAUAAUGGGGUACAGAAUAUAAAGAUGGUUGGCUUUUAAUAUUUGCCUACUAUCUUGGUUCACUCCACCGUGAUCAUAAAGUAAGAGAGGCAUUCAGUGAAUGUUUUCUGUGCGCAGAUCUCCCGACAAUGGGCAGGUACAAAAACAGAAAAGUGACCACAGAGGGUCCUUAGAGCACUAAGGGAUCCACCAGAAAUUACCCAGGUAACAUGCAGUCAGGUCUUUGAAAUGGGGUAUUUGAAGAUUGGCGGAAUGCCAAGUGUUAGUGCCAAUAUAAAUUCAGAUGUGCCUGCCACAUGGGAGGAGAUGAACACGCUUAUGUUGAAUAGCAAUAAAAAUACUGAAUUAUUCAGUCCAUUUUGACAAUUUGGGUUCAUUCCUCAAGUUCAGAAAUAUACAAAGACUAAUUAUCUUGAAAUGCUUGGAGAAUAGGAUCUAGAACAGAGGUUGGCAAUUUCUUUCCAUAAAGAAACAAAUAAUAGACGUUUUAGGUUUGUAGGCCAUGGGAUCUCUGUGAUAACUACUCAGCUCUCAAACGUAAUGUGGAAGCAGCCACAGACAAUGUGUAAGUAAACUUGCAUAGCUGCAUGGCUGUGUUCUGAUAGAACUUUAUUUACUAAAACAGGCAGCAGGUCAGAUUUGGCUCAUGGGCUAGAGUUUGCCAACUCCUGGUGUAUUAGUCUGUUUUUACACUGUGAUAAAGGCAUACCUAAGACUGGGUAAUUUAUAAAGAGAAAGAAGUUUAAUGGGCUCACAAUUCUACGUGGCUGGGGAGGCCUCACAAUCAUGGUGGAAGGUGAAAGGCAUGUCUUACAUGGGGAAGGGAAGAGAGAAAUGAAAGCCAGUGAAAGGGAUUUCCCCUUAUAAAACCAUCAGAUCUCGUAAAACUUAUUCACUGCCACGAAGACAGUGUAUGGGGAAAAACCGCCCCCUUGAUUCAAUUAUCUCCCACUGGGUCCCUCCCACAAUACAUGGUAAUUAUGGGAGCUACAAUUCAAGAUGAGAUUUGAGUGGGGUCACAGCCAAACCAUACUACCUGGUCUGGUAGAGUAAUCGUUUGUUGUUGCUGAGAUGGAGUCUCGCUAUGUCACCAAGGCUGGAGUGCAAUGCUGCCAUCUCAGCUCACUGCAACCUCCGCCUCCUGGGUUCAAGCGAUUCUGCUGCCUCAGCCUCCCUAAUAGCUGGGAUUACAGGCGCAUGCCACCAUGCCCAGCUAAUUUUUGUAUUUUUAGUAGAGAUGGGGUUUCACUAUGUUGGUCAGGCUGGUCUCAAACUCCUGAACUCAGGUGAUCCACCUGCUUCAGCCUCCCAAAGUGCUGGGAUUACAGGCGUGAGCCACCUUGCCCAGCCCUGGUAGAGUAAUUGUAUCUUUCCUAAACAGUCUAAAAUGCUAUGACUUCCUUUUGAAAAGUUUAGUUUCACUCUGUCCAGGCUAUAGAAAACUCUGUAGAAUUUGUAGUGUUAGUAAGAACCUGAACCAGCCUGCAUAUCUAUUUAGCAUGUCUUCUCUAGUUUCCUGCUCAGGUUGCUGGUCUCCUUACAGAGGGAGCACUCUGGAUAUUUUGGUGUCAUUUCCAGAGACAGCAGAGGCAGCUGGAGUUAUACUGCCUGGGUUCAAAUAUGAGUUCAAUCCCUUAUUAGCUGUGUGACCCAGGGCCAAGUUAUUUAUUUCUCUAUGCCUCGGUUUCCUCAACUAAAAAAUGGUGAUAAUAUAAUACCAUCCCUCGUGAAGUUAAUUAUGCAGAUUAAAAGAGUUAAUAUUGUAAAGCAUGUAGAACAAAAGCUUGGAACACAGGAGAUAUGCCACAAAAUAGCUGCUAUUAUUAUAAUUAAUCAUUUGCUGCCUUUUUUCAGGCUAUGAGUUAUUAUUAGAAAAUUCAAGUCUGGUAAUCCCAGCACUUUGGGAGGCGAGGCAGGUGGAUCAUGAGGUCAGGAGAUCGAGACUAUCCUGGCUAACACGGUGAAACCCCGUCUCUACUGAAAAUACAAAAAAUUAGCCAAGUGUGGUGGCGGGCGCCUGUAGUCCCAGCUACUCGGGAGGCUGAGGCAGGAGAAUGGCAUGAACCCGGGAGGUGGAGCUUGCAGUGAGCCGAUAUCGUGCCACUGCACUCCAGCCUGGGCAACAGAGCGAGACUCUGUCUCAAAAAAAAAAAAAAAAAAUUCAAGUCUGUUAGGCCAUGUUUGCAUUGCUAUAAAGGAAUACCCAAGGGUGAAUAAUUCAUAAGGAAAAGAGGUAUGAUUUUGGCUCAUGGUUCUGUAGGCUGUGCAUGAAGCAUGUUGCUGGCAUCUGCUUCUGGUGAGGCCUCAGGAAGCUUCCACUCAAGGUGGAGGGCGAAGGGGGACACAGUACAUUACAUGGUGAGAGCUGGGGCAAGAGAGAGAGGAGGAGGUGCCUGGCUCCUUUAAACAACCAGCUCUCAUGUGAACUAACGGAGCAAGAACUCACUCAUCACCUUGAUGAGAGCAACAAGCCAUUCAUGAGGGAUCUGUCCCCAUGACCCAAAUGCCUCCACUGAGGCCCCAGGUCCAACACUGGGAAUCACAUUUCAACAUGAGAUUUGCACCCAAAGCAUAUCAUCAGGAUGUUUUUGUUUGUUUGUUUGUUUUCUGGAAAAUGCUCCUAUAGAGCUACUCUUACUGAAUCUAAAGCUGUCUCAUUCUAAAGUCCAACCACCCCAUGAAAGGAGCAAGUGUGUGUGGGGUGUCUCAGCUAAGGAGGUCAAGGCGAGGUGGUGACGCUUCAAGCUCUUGUGCAACCGGUGUCUAAACGGCAGAGUUCCUCUCUGCCCUGCACCAGCGCUGUCCAACAGAACCUCCUGUGACGACAGAAAUAUCCUGCCCAAUACGCUGGCCGCUUGUGACUAAUGAACACUUGAAAUGCGAUUAUAGUGCAACUGAAAGACCGAACUUCUAUUUAACAUUCAUUUAAAUUUAAAUAGCCACAUGUGACUUGUGGCUAGCCUUGUAGAAAGCACAGUCCUAGAUAAUGUUAAAAAAAAAAAAAAAAAGGUAAUUCUCAGUUCAUAUUCAUAUUCUCUGGGUUCCUUGAACUAAACCUCUGAGUAAAACCCCAGAGAAGAAUCAUUCAUAAGUGACUCUAGGGGUUAUUAUUAGCGUAGAGUUUCCAGCACUUUAAAUGAAAAACAUGCCUUCAUCUUCAUUUUCUAACGUCCCACCUCUUGCGACUAAAAUGCUUUGGCUCUCAAUUGCUCUGCACAAUAAUUAAAUACAUGGAGCAAGAAACCUGGAUGGGCUUCUCCUUGGCAAUGUCCAUUCUGGGUGCUCAGAAACAGCAAUCAAUCAGGGAUGUGGGUGGCCAGGAAAAAGCCUGCUCACAGUAAUAAAAACACUUUGAACCAAAUUCAGAAGAUGUUCUGCCUCUGAUAAGAGUGCUCAGGGAAUGCAGGAUUAAAAAGUGAAAUCAAUUGAACUGAGGGGAAAAGAGCUACAGAACGUUUUAUUAUUUCAAAAGAAACCUGCUGUUGGUUGCAGAGAACACGAAAAGAGAAGGUGGAUGUGCAGAAUUCUAGAGUUCAAUCCUUGGGUCAGCUCUGGUUCUCCUAAGCCAUUCGACCCAGGGAAUGCUGAGUCUCCUAAAGAAUUCUGCUCAGGACUUCCCUGGGGCUCUCAGGGUCUGAAAUCUACCCGUGGGCUUACUGUCCUGGCCCAGGUGACCGGAUGCCCCUCUUAAUCUUCUGUGAUUCUCGAAGUCACCAGACCUGAAUGCAUGAGACCCCCUGAGGUUCAGGGUCAGCUCAGCCUGCCCAGCCUGGCGGUUCAUCAACAUCCUCAAUAACGUUAAAUGCUCACAGGCUCCAAAACAGCAAGUCCCCUUCUACUAGGCAAAUGAUGGACAUGCUUGAGAAAUGAUCUCAAUAAUCAGGUAAAAAUAUCUGUCCUCAUUGAAUGGAAAGCCAUUUGAUCUGUAUCCAGUUUAGCCUCCUUAAAGAAGUCCCUUACAAACAUUAGUUGAGGAAAAUAAAUUGGUCUCUUGCUCUGUGAGCUUCAACCCGGAUAUAGUACAGAAGUAAGGAGACAUUUUAAUGGAAAUAUACUUAAUCUCCUGAAUAGAUUCGUGGAGGGUCAAGGGAUGAGUAUACUGGAUCUCUCUUCAAGCCAACUAGCUGGAGGUGAGAUUUUAUUGGCUAAAAAAGAUGUACAUUUAAAAAAUACAUGAUCUUUUCUUUUCUUUUUUUCUUUUUUUGCUCUAUAGUAACUCAUUGGAACAUUCACCACCAUGAAAAGAUGGAUUCUGAUAAAGACGAGCUCACAAAUGACUAAUGGUAGCCUGACAUCUCAUUCCAUAAAUCAAAGAGAUCUUGUCAAAGAACCCCACGCCAAAUCUCCAAUUACUGUAACAUGUUUCAGGAAGCAUUAGACCUGAAUAUCCAAAGACUGAGGACGUGAAUCAGAGGCGGACAAACCCAACCAGAACCUUAUUAUAACUAAGAGAGAUCAGAAGCACAAGCAAAUACAGACACAUCACAGGGCAGAGAGCUGCAGCUCAGAAAAGAAACCUUUGUCAAAAAUUGAGAAGGCAAAAGGACAGUCUCUUGGCUCCCAUCAAAUACAAUGGUUGAAAGUAUAACUUAGGCCAGCUCUAAAGUUACACGAAAGCAUUAGACAAAUUAAUUAUACAUAAUUGACAUUGAAAGAAAAUAUUCAUAUCUUUCAAUCAUAAAGCAUAUCAACCAUAAUAAAGCAUGUAAAAAGCAGAUAAAAGGAAACAAGUUAAUAUCAAUCUAAGAAUUUAAUCUGCAAAGCAAGCAUGGUAGCAGGGAUGCAGCUGAAGGAAUAGAACUCGCCUCAAACGCAGAAGUGGGAUGCGUCACAUCUGAUUCAGCCAAGAAGAAACCUUACAGUUCUGUUGAAGAAUGGUCUCUUGAAAAGAAAGGCGGUACCAGGGUAGACACCCAAAAGGUGCGUGAUGUGUUAUAUGUAAUAAGUCAGUCUCUGCAGUACUCGCAAAUAAGGAAGGUACACUGAAUUUGAAUGGUGGAAGUGGCAAUGGGGUGAAACCAACCAUUGAGGGGCUUUCCCCAGACACUGGUGUGUUCUUUCUCUUUUUAUUUACCCACAAAAGAAGAAACAGAUCAGAACCUUGAGUGGUCAGAAUGGUGGCAAGAAAUCCUGAAUUAUCUUGUGAGAUUAGCAGGAGGGAAGGCUUAGUCAUCAAAUGAGUUCUGGAUGAUCCCAGUUUUCAUAUUCAUCAAAUGCAUAUGGACUAGAGAAGCCCAAAGGAUGGAAAACAGGAACCAUCUGCCACUUGAAUGCAAAACAGGGCUAGCAGGUAAGUAAGAGAGAUGUGUCCCACGGUAGCCUGAAAGAGAACCACAGCUCAACCAAACACUGAACACAGUUGAAGGGAGCUGAGAAAGAUGCGGUGGGUUGUCUACGGUUGAUGAAAUAUUGCACAUAGUCUUGAUAAUGCAGAGUAUUAUUUACCCUUGAAGGUUUCAACAAUUGCCUCUGCAUAGCGAAAGGAUGUGUGGAUUGAGAAGCAUACUUUGACCUUGAUGGACUCUGGCGAUGAGCGGCUGCCACAGAACUGCUAUUUAUCUGCCAUGAAAAAAGUAGCCAUCCACAGGGCUUGACUUGCAUGGUUCCCUUUAAAUCUGGAAAGUCACCAUCCACAUCACCCUAACCUUGACUUUACUGUGCUUUACUGCUUCUUUCUGUUGUAUCUUGCAUCUACAGAUGAUGAGAGAAAAACCUAUUCUAAGUGGGAAAGAAUUGCUAAACGAGGAAAUGCAAGCUCCACGUGUGUUGGUUCUGCCCCUGUGUGCUGAGCCCCAGUGAGGGGGAAACGUGGAAAACGUGUCGUACAGACUAGAGCCCAGCAGUGGAAACAACACAGGGCUGGGACUAUCAGGGACUAUUCAGAUAAGCGGUUCUCAAUGGGGAAGGUCCUGUCCCCUAGGGGAAGUUUUGGAAACUUUGGGGGUGUGUUUGAUAAGCAUGCUGGUUAUCCUGGAAUGUGAAGGGCAGUCAUGCAAAAUGAAGUAUUGUUCCCAUCCCACACCACUUUCCAAAGUCGCUCUGGGCAUCAACAUGGGUGAAAUCUGCUGGAUCAUAUGAGCACAGAAUGCACCUCCCAUUCACAUAUGCAUACCAUCUUUUCUACACAGGUUUAGUAUACAUUGCAUAUUCGCUACUAUGGAAAUCCAGGGAAGCUGAUUCUCUUUCUGUUUUUCUUGGAACUUUCCUAAGAUUCUUGUCCAUUCUGGAAAAUCACAUCAGCAACUGAUAGAGUUUGGAUAUCUGUCCCCUCCAAUUCUCAUGUUGAAAUUUGAUCCCCAGUGUAGGAAGUGGGGCCUGGUGGAAAGUGUUUGCGUAGUGAGGUCGGAUCUCUCAAGAAUGGCUUUGUGCCUUGCCCAUAAUAAUGACUGAGAUCUCACUCUGUUAGCUCCAGGGAGGGCUGAUCGAUUGUUGAAAAAAAGUCUGGCACGUCCUUCCCCUACCCUUGCUUCCUCUCUCCCAUGUGAUCUCUGCACACUGGCUCUGCUUCACCUUCCACCAUGACUGGAAGCAGCCUGAGAGCCUGGCACCAUGCUUCUUGUACAGCCUGCAGAACCAUGAGCCAAAUAAACCUCUUUUCUUUAUAAACUCCCCAGCCUUGGGUAUUCUCUUAUAGCAGCACAACAGUCUAAGACAGCAAGCUGAGCUGCUUGGGGUGUGUGAGUGUAAGUCAGCUUGCCUUGAUCAGUCUACACUGGGUGUACAUGUCCAUGGUGAUGUUAACUCACCUCCAGCAUCUGCCUACUGCGUGGUCUACCAGCACCACGGAGCCAGAGUGUUCACGUACUGAGGUACUGAUUAGCCGGUUAUACAUUACUUCCCUUGUAUUCCCCCCAUAUGACGUCAGGGCACUUUGAGCUGUGUAUGUAGAUAAGUCAUAUGACCUUUGCAUUUACUUCAGGGAAUGACAAAGCACUUGUUAUAAAAAGCAGGUGUUGGCUGAAGGUUUGGGGACUGCUGGCCUCAAAGCUUGAACUUGGGCAAGUCCCCUGUCUCUCUGAACUCCUGUGCCGCAGGAAUCAAAAUGAGGGGUUUGGACCAACUCCAAGUCCUGUUCCAUGAUGAGCAGUCCAGAGUGAACAGUUGGAGGUGAGGGCUGUUUGGGGACUGAGGACUUGGAUGAAUCACAGAUCUGAGUGGGACGGGGCAGCAUAAGCCAUCGUAAACCAAACCUCUGCUGCACACACAGAGAGAAACACCACCACGACUUCUACACACGUUUGUGGUUAUAGCAACAGCUGGGCACAUAGUGAUCAUAGGCAGGAGUUGUAUCCGGGAAUAUCAAUGAAGAAAGCUUACCAACACAUGAAGCCAUAAACCAAGCUAUAGGUUCCUUGAGGGAGGGGCCAGCCAUAUUUUUCUGAAGCCUCAUAGAGCACUGGCCACCACAGCCCUCUCCCCAGCAAGCACCUGCAGCCAUACGUGCAGGAGGCCCCAUCAUUUAUGGCACCAAAGUGGAGCCCAGGAUGUGGUGUAGGUAGCAUAGAUAUACAGGGUUUCCUCUAUGCUUUCUUUCAUACACAGCAAAUCAUCUGGCUUUAUUAAAUUGCCUGGCAUUUUCAGAAGACUUCAGUUAUUCUUUCCCCCUCCUUUUGUCCCCAACUAGAGCUGGCCUUUAUUUCCCGGAACAAAACACUGAGGAUAAGGAAAGCGAGAAAGGGAAGUCAGGAAAAGAAUUUACAGUAGGGAAACCUAAUGUGACAGUUCCGAGCCUCUAGAAGGUUCAUGACCCUAAAAAACAAACCAGCAUGUCAGCUUACCUGUUCUGUCCGUUGAAUUUAAAUUUACCUGUUCUGUCCGUUGAAUUUAAAUUUACCUGGCUGUCUGUUGAAUUUAAAUUUCAGAAUCGUAAAAAUAGUUGUGACAUCAAAACGUGCACAGCAUUAGAGCAGCUUCCAGUUCACAGAGGGCGGUGACUCUAGACCCCACGGGCUCCUGCAGAGCUGAAGGCUGCCACAAGCCGCUGGGGGCCUCCCCACAACCCCACCCAGGGCUGCUCGGAAGCCUGCAUGGGCAAGGCUUGUUCUAUUCCAGAGACCUCCAUCAGGCUACACUUUUUUUUCUCAACUCCACCCCAUAAUUGCUCAUGUGCAGCCCCAGUCUUGGCCCUUAAUACUUUGUGCUCACAAAACUCACUCUUCCAAAUGAGUGUUGCAAACCAACCCACAGAAAUGGCUUCCAUGAACCACACCGUAACCCCUACUGAACUAUGCAAAGGUGGGUUUCCAUGUAUCCCUUCAGCUGAGGAAGCAAACCCACACCCUCGGCCAGAGUGGCCUCACAGACUCCCAAGACCUCGUCCCCUGCUCCAGCCCACCUCCACUGCAGAACUAAAGCUGCUGCAAUAAACACCAAAGGGCCACAAGCUCCCUGCGACUUGGGAUAACUAAAGGAGUUGUGUUUGACUUGGAUUUUUAGAAAAUGAAUCUCAUGUAAAUGCGUGAAGGCCAUGAGGAGACUCCUGCUGUGGAUUUGUGGAUGGAAUGAACAUGUACAUAUGCAUACACAUGUCCACAUGUGUGUAUACAUACACAUACAUAUUGGUAUCCCCCUUAAAAUGAAACAGCUUUCUGGCUGUCAUGCUCUGGUGCAUUUUGAAGCAUGUUGAUCAUGCAGUGCCCCGGCCCAGCACACCAGCCAAGGGGCCAGCGCUUACCUCUCUGUGUCAAAGUACGUGUCUAUGUAGGAGUGCGGGGUUCCUGCCACGGCAAAGUUACUGCUUCCAGUGUCAACGAGAAUCUGUAGCUUUUAUGUUUUAAGGAGAAAAAAAAAAUAGAAAGCAUCAAGUUAUUUUAAUAAGGCAAUACUCUUGAAUAAUGUUUUUAAAACUAAGUAGCAAGAAUAAUUUAUCAGUUGGAACAAAAAAAAAGUAUACUGACGAGGAGAAUAGAAAAAGCUAUUAUAAAAUUGAAAUCUGAACAAAGUCCAUGAAGAAGCUUGCACUGGAGAGGGGAAAUGGUCCUGUCUCAGAUACACACUGAGCCUUAAAAGAGAAUGGAUUCUGUUAAAUAACUGGGUUUCCUUUUUAGGCCGUUGGUGCUUGAAACCAAGGCUGAGCUCUUUCUUAUCUCUGGGCUUUCGGCCAGGUUUAGCCCUCCACUGGGCUCACCCUCCCCUUGCUUUUCCAAAUCUCGCCUGGAAACCCCGAUCCAACGUGACCUCCCCUCCCCAGGAUGCCUCCCAGCCUCCUCCUGGCAUGUGGUGGCCCCUCACCUCCAUGCAUGGCACCUGGGCACACCUGUCACAAGCAUUGUUUUUUAGGUUAUUUGAGAUAUAAUUUGCAUAUAAUAAAAACGCAAGAUCUUAAAUGCUCACCUGGUGAGUUUUGGCAUGUGUGCCAAACCAAGAUGCAGAAACUUCUAUUCACCUCAAAAGGUUCCUUUAUGCCCCUUUCCCUUCUGGUCCCCAGAAGCAACCACUUUCUGGCUUUUGUGACCACGGACUGGUUUCAUCAGUUCUUGAACAUUCUAUACAUGUAAUGAUGUAGGCUUCUGUGUGUUUGUUUUCUUAGCAUAGCUUCUUAAGUGCAACUUGUCUUUGAGACGUCCUCAUGUUGCAUCAGCCCUUUGUUUCUCUUCACGAUGCAGGGACACACCAUGAUUUGCCUCUGCUUUCGACGGGCCCUUGAGUUGUGUCCAUUUUGAGGCUACUAUGAAUAAGACAGCUAUGGACACACUGUACAGGUCUUUUUGCAGACAUAUAUUCUCAUUUCUCUUGGGUAAAUACCUAGGAGUGAAACUUUUUGGAUCAUAGACUAGAUAUUUUUUUUUUUUUUUUGAGAUGGAGUCUCGCUCUAUCGUUCAGGCUGGAGUGCAGUGGCACGAUCUCGGCUCAGUGCAAACUCUGCCUCCCAGGUUCACGUCAUUCUCCUGCCUCAGCCUCCUCAGUAGCUAGGACUACAGGUGCCCGCCACCGAGCCCGGAUAGUUUUUUGUAAUUUUAGUAGAGACGGGGUUUCACCGUGUUAGCCAGGAUGGUCUUGAUCUCCUGAAGUCGUGAUCUGCCCGCCUCGGCCUCCCAAGGUGCUGGGAUUACAGGCGUGAGCCACCGCACCCAGCCGACUAGAUACAUUUUUACUGUUUUAAAGAAAAUUGCUGAACACGUCUGCUAUGUGGGUCCACCAAGUUAUAUUCCCAUGAGCAAUGGGUCCAUGGGCCAUUUGGUUUAUGUGCUCUGUAUCCUCCCCCAAAUUUGGUGGUGUUGGUCUUUUCAAUGUGAACCAUGCUAACGGGUGUGGAACGGUAUUUCACUGUGGUUUUAAUCUGCAGUCCCCUAGGGACCAAUGCUAUUGGGCUGUUGCCCUGUAUCCCACUGUUUCACUCAUCUUCCCCAGUGAACGAUGUCUCAGGGCAGGUGUGUAUGUUACUUAUCAUUUUAUGCCCAGCAUCUAUCCCAAGUCCAGACACAUGCCCAGUUGUUUACAGAAUGAACACUUCUUUUAGAAAUAAACACAGACCACGUAGAUAUAGCCCAAAAGGUUGAAAAACAGGUUUAAAAAGCUAUAGACUAAAGAAAUCAAAAUCGGAUGGGCACAGUGGCUCACGCCUGUAAUCCCAGCACUUUGGGAGGCCGAGGUGAGUGGAUCCUGGCUAACACGGUGAAACCCCAUCUCUACUAAAAAUACAAAAAAUUAGCCGGACGUGGUGGCACACGCCUGCAGUCCCAGCUACUUGGGAGGCUGAGGCAGGAGAAUUGCUUGAACCCAGGAGGCAGAGGUUGCAGUGAGCCGAGAUCGCACCACUGCAUUCCAGCCUGGGUGACAGAACGAUACUCCAUCUCAAAAAAAAAAAAAAAAAAAAAAAUCAAAAUAGGCAAGUUUUUGCCUAGGAUUAUCUUACCAACAAUUAUAAAAUAAUUUUGCCAAGGACCUCAGUUUAGCUGGGACCAGUGUUUGUCUCUGAGCUGACCCAUCAGCAGGAUCUGACUCAGUCUCGCUCCCUCUUCCUGGAAAUAUUCUUCACUCUGGAUCCCGGGGCCCCACACUUUCCUGAUUUCCUCCUUCUCUGACUCCUCACUUUAGUCUCACGGACAGGUGCUUCUCAUCUCCCCACCCUGCUGAACUUUCCCGGGGCUCAGCUCAGGAAUCACUUCUGGGAUCCAUCCACUCACACCCUUGGGGUCCCCACUGAGUCUCAAGGCUUUAAAUGCCAUCCGCAUGUUGACGAACCCCAAGUGUACCUCUCGGCCCCGGGCUGCGCAUGCACUCUGGGCUCUACCUAUUCAACACCUUUCCCUGGCUGGCUAAUAGUCAUCUUUUAUGGGUUGAGAUGUGUUUUCCAAAAAGAGAUGCUGAAGUUCCUAACCCCUGCACCUGUGAAUGUGCCCUUAUUUGGAAAAAAGGUCUUUACAGAGAUAAUCAAGUGAAGGUGAGGACCACAGAGGUGAGCUCUAAUCCAGUAUCACAGGCGUCCUUCCAGGGAGACGAAAAUGCACGGAAAGCAGACACACGGGGGGUGCCAAGUAACAGCAGAGACAGGGAUGGGAGUGACGGAGUCACAAGAAUGCCAAAGGACUGACAACCAUGGCCAGGGGCUGGAAGAGGAAAGGACGGCUCCACCUGGAGUCUCAGAGGAUGCAUGGCCCCACCAACACCUUGAUUUCAGACUUCUUGCCUCUAGAACUGUGAAAGAAUACAUUCCUGGGGUUUUUUUUUUUUUUGACAGUGUCUCACUCUGUCACCCAGGCUGGAGUACAGCAGCACAAUCAUCACUUGCUGUAGCCUCAAACUCCUGGGCUCAAGGGAUCCUCUCACCUCAGCCUCCAAAGUAGCUGGGACCACAGGCGUGCACCACCAUGCCUGGCUAAUUUAUUUUUAUUUUUUGUAGAGAUGGGGUCUCACUAUGUUGCCCAGGCUGGUCUUGAACUCCCGGGCUCAAGUGAUCCUCUCGUCUUGGCCUCCUAAAGUGCUGGGAUUACAGGCAUGAGCCACUGCACCUGGCCCAUUCCUGUUGUUUUCAGCUCUCAGUUUGUGUACUUAGUUACAGCAGGUCCAGGAAACAUCUUGAGAUGGGACAUCAUCUCACGCCUGGCGUGUCCCGAAUUGAGCUCCAGCUGCCCCCACCCCUGCUCUCCUGGUGGACUUGACCAUCUCGGUCGACAGCAGCUCCAUCAGGUCAGGCCAGGCCAUGCCGGAGGUGAUCCCUAGGGCUUCCUUCCCCUCAUGGCCCACAUCCAGCCACCAGGAGGUCCCGAGGGCUCCACCUUCAGGUUCUGGCCCACACCGGCCCACCCCUCACCUCCUCCAAGGAGUCUGUGGGGGUCCACACCACUGUCAUCCCCUCCUCGUCCUCACUGGUGUCCCUGCUUCCUUCCUAGGCCUACUUCCAACCAGCAGCCACCACAGUCCUAUUACAGUUAAGUCAGAGGGAGUCAGCCCUCCACCUCCCAUGGCUCUCACGUCACCCAGAGUAACUGGCGAAGUCCUCACAUGGCCUGCUGAGUCACUCGCCAUGCCCUGACAUCACUCCUCCCAGCCACGCUGACCACCAGGCCACUCCGUGAAAGCCCCAGACAUCCCCCAGGGGCAGGGCCUUUCCCCUGGCCACCUUGCUGGGGUGGGGGCUCUUCCCCAGGAUACCCAGGUCCAGGUCCAUGUGGCACGGCCCAUCGCUCCCUUCCAGGCUUCCUUCAACGCCACCUUCUCCACGAAGCUGACCCUGGCUGGCCCUUUGGGAGAACUGCUGUUCCCAGUCUCCUGCCGGCCUGUGCAUCCCUUUCCCUCCCAUAACACCACACCUUUCACAUAACAGUGACAGCAGACACUGAACACCGCCUGCAGUGGGCUGGGCACUGCUGUACGUGCUUCCUAUAUCCAUUAGCUUAUUUCAACCUCAUAACAGAGCUCUGAGGGCAGCACAGUCCUCACUCCACGUCACAGAUGCAAACACUGAGGUGCAGAGAGUCUGACUUGCUCAACUCUACAAGGGUAAGUGGCAGAGCUGAGGCUGGAACCCAGAGUCAGACUCCGAGCGCAUUCUUGUAACCAACUCAGCCACUGCCUGGGCCCCGUGCGCAAUCAUGCCAUUCACGGGGUCCCGACAGCUCCUGCUGCCUCCGCCCCACCAGCGUGAAGCCUCCCUCUGACAGGGAUUUUUGCUGUUUGCUGCUCUGUCUGCCGUGCAUGCCUGUAACAGGGCCAGGCACACAGUAGACACUGACACUUUUUUUUUUUUUUUUUUUUUUUUGAGACAGAGUCUCGCUCAGUCACCCAGGCUGGAGUGCAGUGGCUCUAUCUCAGCUCACUGCAAGCUCCUCCUCCUGGGCUCACGCCAUUCUCCUGCCUCAGCCUCCCGAGUAGCUGGGACUACAGGCUCCCGCCACCACGCCCAGCUAAUUUUUUUGUAUUUUUUUAGUAGAGACGGGGUUUCACCGUGUUAGCCAGGAUGGUCUCGAUCUCCUGACCUCGUGAUCCACCCUCUGCGGCCUCCCAAAGUGCUGGGAUUACAGGCGUGAGCCACCGCGCCCGGCCGACACUCACACAUUUGUGGAAUCGACAACAAAAUUAUUUGCAAAGGUAAAAUCAAAGACACUCGUUUUGCCCUUGGUACAAAGAUAACAGAUUCCAAAAUAAUAAGCAAGAAUAAUGCAGUCUGUGCACACAAACCAGCUGUGUGUAGGUUCUGCACACACAGUUUUCGAGCUGUUGGCAGAAACUGUCAGACUCCUACUUCCCUAAUGUACUAAGUGCCAUUGCCCCUUCCCCUGCAGGAGGCCAUGGAAAUAGUGGAGAGGAAUGAACGACAGUCCUGGGCAUCUGCCAGGGGCAGUGCUGUAACCUGUGGUCACACCCCUGUGUUUUCUCAAACGAAAAGCUACUUUGUGACUUCAGAGAAUUCCCUCCCGACCAAUGAAGAUCAUGUUCACAAAAACUUUGUAGGAAUGGUAGGGAAACAGAUUUGGGGGAUGAAGGUUUGAAGUGAAUCUAAAACAAUGGCAAAGGCACUCUACUGUUUUUUUUUUUUUUUUUUAAUAUACUUUUUUUUUGAGAUGGGGUCUCACUGUGUUGCCCAGGCUGGUCUUGAACUCCUGACUUCAAGUGAUCCACCCGCCUCAGCCUCCCAAAGUGCUGGGAUUACAGGCAUGAGUCACCACACCUGGCCAGCAAAGGCACUCUAAAUAAUGAGACUAUAAAUGUUACUUUAAACCUCUUCGUUUUAGUAAAUGAAUGCUCUAUUCUUAAUUUCGAUUUACAAAUACACAGCUCCUAGAAAAUGUGUAAGAGCUUGCUCCUUUACAGAGGUGUUUGGGUUGAUUUCAGAUAGAAUGUAAUCUCACAUAUAUAAAAAUAUAUUUACAUAUAUAUAAUGUAUUAUAUAUAAUAAUUUAUUAUCUGGUUCUUCAUCCAAAUAUUAGAUGCUCAACAGCCCCAAGUUUCAAAGCCACAGUUUGGGUUAGAUUUAAUCCUAAUUUCUCAUAAACGUACAAAAGGGCAUGAAAGAUUGUGAAAUACGUAUGUGAUUUCAUCCCCAUUUCCUGGCAUACAACUCCUAAAAUCUCUGGAAUCUCCAAAGUGAUGUGUUUUUGUAUGCUGUGAGUUGACUGAUGGCUGGCAGCCCCUAGGUAGCUUCGGGAUGGGGGCUGGUCACCAGAAAGAGCAAGGCGGGAUUAGAGGACUGGGACUUUCAGCCCCACCCCCAACCUUGGGGAGUGGGGAGGAGCUGAAGGUUAAGCUGAUCACCAAUGGCCAAUGGCUUAAUCAAUCAUGUCUACAUAACGAAGCUUCCACAAAACCCCAAAAGAACAGGGUUCAUUAAAUUUCCAGACAGCUGAGGUUCCCGGAGGGUGGCGUGUACAGGGGGGGCACGGAAGUUCUGUACCUGUCCCCCUAUACCUCAACCUACACAUCUCUUCAUCUGUAUCUUCUGUAACGCCCUUUAUAAUAAACCAGUGUACAUGUCUUCCUGAGUUCUGUGAGUAAAUCUAGCAAAUUAAUCAAACCAAGGAUAGGAUCCUGGAAAUCUUCCAUUUGUAGCCGAUCGAUCAGAAGCACAGGCAAUGACCCGGAGCUCGCAACUGGCAUGGAAGCUGGGGGCAGUCUUGGGGGACUGGGCCCUCACUCUGGGGUCCCACGCCAUCCCCAGGCAGACAGUGUAGGAACUGAACUAAAUUAGAGGAUACGCAGCUGGUGUCUGUCGCAGAACCGAUCGAUUGUUUGUUGGUGAGGAGAAAUCCCCGCACAUUUGGUCCCGGAAGUCUUCUGUGUUGAUCGUUGUGGUGUGAGAGCAGAGGGAAAUCAGUGUGUGGUUUUUCCACUUAGAGGACACCAAGCAAAUCUGCAUUUACAUGGAUUUCACAGGAGAGAAAUUGUUGGAGGCUGAGUAAUUCUUGCAUGUAUCAAAUAGUCAGUAACAGGUCAAAGUAAGUGAAGGAGAUCCGUCCCUAGGUCAGUCUGGUUGAACCAGAUAUUCCUGAAGGACAGGGUUCUCUCUUUUUCUGCUCUUAAAUAAUAAACACUAAGUUAUCAGUAACUCACCACAACCUGAUUCUCAAAGGGGGCAGGCAUAUCAGAAUCCCUGCACCAUUUUUAAACAUUCCCCCAAACUGAAUUAUUUUAAGAGAUGAAUUUAUCAAUUUGCAUCCAAUUAUACACAUUUUUCCUCAUCCUAUCUCUUCCUAUGUGACACUGUCUGCUAUAAUGUUUCUUCUUUUAUUCUUUUCAUCUUUACUAUACAGAUUUCUGGUGUUUAAUAAUUGUUCUGGUGAACUGCAAGCUUUACAUCUAUUUUUAAAUUAUUCUAGUCAUUUUCUUUACAAUUUUAUGUGAUAUAUCUUAACCUCUUCUCUUGAUUUAGCAACUUAGAAUGAUAUUUUUGGGAUCCCCACUCUGCACACUUCUAAAAAAAUCAAGAAUUGGCUGGGCGCGGUGGCUCACGCCUGUAAUCCCAGCACUUUGGGAGGCCGAGGCAGGCAGAUCAUGAGGUUAGGAGAUCCAGACCAUCCUGGCUAACACAGUGAAACCCCGUCUCUACUAAAAAUACAAAAAUUAGCCGGGUGUGGUGGCGCACACCUGUAGUCCCAGCUACUCGGGAGGCUGAGGCAGGAAAAUCGCUUGAACCCGGGAGGCGGAGGUUGCAGUGAGCUGAGAUCACACCACUGCACUCCAGCCUGGUGACAGAGCGAGACUCUGUCACAAAAAAAAAAAAGUCAAGAUGUUUGGAAGGGACAGGGGGUGCUCCAGGAUAGGGAGUGAUGGGAAGAAGUGCUGGAUUAUAACAUUAUUUUUACUUUCAUGAUAUGCCUUUUUGUAAUUUUACAUAAUGCAUGAACAUCUUUCUUUUUUACCUACCUGCCAAUAUUUUUUAUUUAUCAUCUGUCAGAAUUUCCUUCCAUUAAGGAAGAUGAGGUGGUGAAUGUACCUAUGUCACCAGGAAUCUGAGUCCCACCAACCUCUCCAUAGGUUACACUGUUGUUUAUAUAUUUUCAAGAUUUGUUUUUGAUACCCAUAUUUCCCACAGUUGCUUAGUCAUUCUAUAAGGAAAGAGGUUCUCUCCUUCCUACCAGUCCUCCUGUCUCUGACUUCACCCAGCUCCCCAAUGGCUAGGUUUUGUUCAGCCUCCCACGGGCCCCACCCAAAGUUGGACACCAUCUUCCCCAAGGGCUUUCAUGCUUGCGAGCACCUAUCCAUGGCCUUUACACUUGAAGAAUGAUCUGCCUGGGUUUUGUGCAUUUGGGUCAUAUUUUUUUUCUUAACACUUUAUAUAUAUGUUUCUCCAGUGUAUUUCAACAGUGAGUAUUUGUGGAGAAAUCUAAAGCAUGUCUUAUUUUUCCUCAUUACACGUGACUUUUUCUCCUUGGUUACUGAAGAAUUCUUUCCAUAGCCACAAAGUUCUAUAGUUGUAUUGUUUAUAUUAGAACCAUCGUUCUGUAGUUUUACUGACAUAUCUUAACAUUGGUUGGUCUGAUUCAAGUUUCCUGGAAAACGGGACUCACUUUUUACAUUAAUUUCUUAUGGCUGCCUUAACAAACAGCCACAAACUGGUUGGCAUGAGAUAAUAUACAUUUAUUUUCUGGCAGUUCUGGAGGUCAGAAGUCCAAAAUCUAGGUGUGGGCGGGGCUGCGCUUCCCACAGAAGCUCCAGGGGAGGGCCCUUCUUGUCUCUCCCAGUUUCUGGUAGGGGCUGGCAGCCCUCAGGCUGUGUCAUGGAGGCGUGUCCCCAGGCCUCCCACUCACUUGCUGCUGGCCGCCGCCUUUACUUGCUCCGUCCAUCUUCAAGGCUUGCCGGCCUCCAGGCCUCCUUGCUGCCUGCCGAGCUGGCUCUGUGACACCUUCUUUGCAUCCAGCUUAGGAUUAUCACAAGAGCAAAAGCCACUUCUAUGGCUGAUGUGAAAAGAGCAAGGGCCGGGACCUAAACCAUCACUGGGAGGGGGCUCCAAAGUACAACGUGUCCAGCACCCAGGCUGGAAAGCACCGAGGCUCAACCAGCAGAUACCUCGCCAAAGCUGCCAUGAGCUGCCACAGGGAAGGCACAGGGCCCUGAGUGUUCACCACUGUCUCUGUGUUGGGGAUUUAAAUGCUUUCUGGAGGCAAGAUGAAUUUGGAAGUUGCUUGGCUAAAACGGGGUAAAGAGGGAAAGGAGGGGGGUAAAGAGGUAAAGGAGAGACAGAAAACAAACACACAAAAAUUCCUUUACAAGGCAAAUCAGAGAAUACUAGGGCUUGAGAAGAGGACAGUGUGGAUGUUAGGCAAGAAACAUCAAUCGCCCUAAAAAAAUAACUAAUUGCACAACAGUAGGAAAUACGUUUUCUUGGCCAUUGAAAGUCACAGAUAAGAACAGCUCUAGAUUGGGCCGGGCGCAGUGGCUCACGCCUGUAAUCCCGGCACUUUGGGAGGCCGAGGCGGGCAGAUCACGAGGUCAGAGUUCAAGACCAGCCUGACCAACAUGGUGAAACCCCGUCUCUACUAAAAAUACAAAAAUUAGCCUGGCGUGGUGGCACACACCUGUAAUCCCAGCUACUCAGGAGACUGAGGCAGGAGAAUUGCUUGAACCCAAGAGGCAGAAGUUGCAGUAAGCCAAGAUCGCACCACUGCGCUCCAGCCUGGGUGACAGAGCGAGACUCCAUCUCAGAGAAAAAAAAACAAAAAAAGAACAGCUACAGAUUUCUGAACAAGACCAGCCUUCCUCCCUGUGCCCACUGUCCAUCGUGGAAGCUGUUUCACAACCAUUUCUGGGUCUCGCUGGCAACUCUGCACUCAGUAGCUCAGGAGAUCCCACACCCGGCCGGUCAGGCUGGCAACGCACGUCCGCGCUGACUGCGACUGCGUAACUAGACAGGGCCAAGGCAGGAACAAGACUUGCCCUCCACACAGCAGCCCCAGUGACAGGGGGACUCUCUCCAGAGACGCUUCACCCUGCUUCCCUCCCUCUGAAGCUCCACCGCAGCCUCUGCAUUGCCUCAUGACCGGAGCUCGUUCUCACACGCCCAGACCCGGUCCUGCCUCUCAGGGGGUGUCACUCCUCCGCAGAGGCAGGGAACACAAAUGCAGAGAAAGUCAGACCAAAGUGUGGACUGCAUUCUUUUACACAGGUGAUUUCUUCUCAUUGCCCAGGCAUUCAGCACAACCUUAUCUUCCGUGGCAGUUCCAGCAAAAGCUAGUUUUCAAGAAGGUUCAACUCAGAGUCACAGCUUGGCAAAGCCAGUCACCACGAUGGUCGUUCCUGGAGCAUAUGAUCUGAGAGAAAUGGCCCCAAAUAAAUAAGGCAGCCACAGAGUCAGGCAAGGGCUGAGUCUCCAGGGCACAGUAAACGCUCUGGGCUGUACAUCACAUCAUGUGUCUGAGCGGCCCGCAGGAGCCACCACCAUUUUCUGUGUGGUGACACUGGAAAUGGACCUUUCUCGUGUUGAAUUCUAGCCAGGACCAUCACCCACUUUCACAAGUAGCCUCAACCACAGAGAUAAAAAUAGUAAUGCCACCUGCUCUAUAAAUUUCACACGACGCGCUCUCAAACAACGGAAAACUCAAACACCCCGGCUGUGGGCUCCUUCCAGGUUCCUCACCUCAUGCCACAUGCUAGCAAUUUAAUCUGCCCCUUCCUUUAUUCUAGGAAUUUCCAAAAUUAUUUCCUGCCUCUUUGGGUUCAACCUCACGUGCAUGUAUGCAUGUAUUCACACACACACACACCAGCCUAGCCCUGGGCCAUGUCCCUCCAGCUACAUAAAAGGUCAUUGAAAAUAUAUAUUCUCAAAUUCAGGGAAUGUUCUUAACUUCCAAGCAAAGCAUAACUUAAAAUGACUCAAAAGCUCAUACGAUAGACAGAUCCCCACUUUACAUCUGAGGAAAACAGAAACGCCUUGGAGAUGUGAAACAGCCCAUGGAGGUCCCGACGUCCCCGCCCCUGUUCCCUGCUUCCUUCCUGAUACUAGGGAGCCUCCCAUAGAAGUCACAUUCCAUUUUUCCAGAACACAAUCACAACUAACAAAAACCGGUUUUCCAGCAGAAGCUGGAUGGAGUCUUCUACCUUGAAAAUCACUGGCUUUUAACUACUCCAACCCUGCCGCCAACAUCAGCGGCCUCGAGGGCCUUUGCAGGGCAGAUGUGGGUCUUUGCUGUGCUGAACCUGGGGCAUGGGGUGAGAGCAGCAAAGAUGAUGGUGCCUGUGUCCUGGCCCCUGCAGAGUGCAGCAUCUAGUAGGGAGAAUGGCCUGUCCACCAGGACCUGCCCUUGAAAACCAUCUGUGAUCCAAGCUGCCAGAGACCUAAGGAGGUGGAACUGCAGGAACUCAGUGGCUAAUUUCUUCUCGCCUUCCUAAAAAUGGCAAAACCCAAAACACACUCCCUCCAGCUACUGUUCCUUCCCCCUUUGCGGUCAAGCAUCCAGCAGUGGGCCACCUCCCGUCUCAAUUCCUUUCUCUCUUUCUCUCCUCCACCUGCAGAGAUGGAGCUUCUGCCUCAGCUCUCCAUGGCCGGCCAAGCUCACCAGUGACCUCCCGUGCUCCAGGCCCACGGUCAUCUCUGAGCUCUCCCCUGACCUGUCCAGCCUGCAGGCAGUGCUGGCCGCAAGUGACCAGGCCUCAGUGAAGCUUUGGAAAUGCGCCCUCCUGGUUUGCCCCCCACAGUCCUUCCUUCUGAUCUCUGCCCUCCCCCCAUACCUCUUCCUCUAACUUUACAUGGUGUUCCCAAGGCUUCUGUGCCCCUGUCCUGGGUGCAUCACCGUCACACAGGAGCCUGUCUUCUCCAGAUAAUGUCCCCAGCACAGUGCGCCCUCCAUGACAGCUGACAGUAGGGCCACAUGUGGCUCAUCUCUUUGUCACCAGUACCUCAGACAGUGCCUGGGAGCCUAGUAGGUGCUCACUAAACAGUUGUUGAAUGAAUAAAUGAAAGUCAAGGUUAGAGAGACGUUCAUGCAGUGAAGGGCAAGUGGCAGAAAUGCACAUUCCAGGCAAAAGGAAGGUGGCUUGUUCAUUUCUAAAGCAAAUCUCUUGAGCACCUACCAAUUAUACAGAAAAUCUGAGAGUAAAAGAGUUUAGAUGAUCUAUUCCAGAAGAUGUGUGAAAAUUCUAUGCCCCCACGAUGAAAACUGUUCGUCUUUGGCAUAGACUUCCUUGACAAUAUGCCCCAGUUCCAGCAGCCCUGCCCAAAACCGCAUCAUCAGAUUUUACAAAAUAAUUAUAAAAGAGGGAUGACCAUUAUGCACACAUCACGGAUGGGUAGGAACUAGACAUGUCCUGAACGUGGACGUCUUCCUCCUGUGUCACAAGCCCUUUGAGAACAAUUCUACCCUCCCAUCAAACAAAUUCUGUCCACACUUCACUGAGCAGAAUGACUGAAUGCACGCAGGGCUUGGGGUCCAAUCUCCCUCCACCAUUCAUGUACCAGUGCCUGGCACCUGGAAGAGGUGGGUUCCUCUCCCCAGAUCUCUCUGCACCCUCCCUCUUCUAGGAAAGGGGGUGAUGACCAUUCUCAUGGGGUGCUUGUGAGAAGUAAAUGCUGUGACACGUGCUCCUCAUGGUGCUGGCUCACGGUGAGUGAGCAAAUAAACACUAGCGCCGGUUCCACGUGCAAUUUUAGCCAGCAAGGUGUGAAAACUGAGUAAACUGAGUUUGCCUCCUGGUGACCAGGGACACACAGUCCACAGCAUCCCAUGGCACUAAAACCUCUGGACAAGGAAAAUGGCUGAUUCUGGAGCAAUUUGAUUCUAAAGGAUUUUUCAGGAAGAAUCCUUUAGAACUGUUCUUGGAAACAGUCAAAACUUUCUCCCCAUGCCGGGCCCUGCCCAGACAAAGCUUACUCUUUUUUUUUUUGAGACGGAGUAUCGCUCUGUCACCCAGGCUGGCAUGCAGUGGCGCGAUCUUGGCUCACUGCAACCUCUACCUCCCGGGUUCAAGCGACUCUCCUGCCUCAGCUUUCUGAGUAGCUGGGACUACAGGCACCCACCACCAAGCCUGGCUAAUUUUUUUGUAUUUUAGUAGAGACGGGGUUUCACCAUGUUGUUCAGGCUGGUCUCAAACUCCUGACCUGGUGAUCCGCCCGCCUUGGCCUCCCAAAGUGCUGCGAUUACAGGCGUGAGCCACCGUGCCCAGCCAGCUUACUCAUUUUUUUCAACAGCAUGAUUUGUGGGGUUUGAUAUUCCUUAUUUUGUUUUGAUGCAAGUAGAAACCACCUCUCACCCCUUCUGCCUGCUGGCUGAGAGUAAACGAUAAACCGUACAAAGGCUGUUGCCUUUGAGACCCAUGCUAAGUCCUGCGUUCCCCAGAAGGCCUCCCAGCUGCAGCUCUGAUUUACUCCUCUCUGACAGCUCAUGCCCUGAUUUUUGGUGUCUAGGGUUGUCUCGUGUCUUUUAUUGUCCUCUAAUGUUUCCCGGUUUCCUUUCUUUCCUCUCAAUGAGCUUGUAAAUUCCUUAAGGACAAAGCUCUUCUUCUUAGUCUCUUUUUGAUGGUCCCCACAGUGCCUGCAACUAAUAGGAAUUCACUAAUCACUUGUUCCUUCAGAUGGGGAAGCAUGUCCAUGAGCCCCCACCUGGGAGCAGAGAGAAUGCCAAUUAGGUCAACAAACCUGCCAAGAAGUUGGAAGUAGCCGGAGAAAGUUCAACAGGCCAAACUCCUAAAUCAUGUGUGCAAAGAAUUAAUUUAGAUUUUCUAGACAUGGCAAGGGUAGGCUAAACUUAGUCAACUUCCCAGCUGCUAUAUAAAUAACCACAAACUUGUCUCUUAAAUGUCCAAGUAUAAGCAAAGCUAGAAGCGAGAAGACAGCAGAGAUUGCUGGUGGCCUACCCAUAUUCCUUGGGCACUCACUUCAGCUUCUGUAACCUCAGGAGUGAGAUUAUCUAGUGUCCAAGUCAGGUCUGACGUACCAGGGAGUGAAUGCUCCUGGGAGCAGCCCUUGACCAAAAAUAAACAGCUGGUGGGUCCAAACCGUUGCUCCCUUACUCCCCAGGCAAACAGUUUGGAGUGGUCUCUGUGUCAUCCCCCAGAAGUCCUUGGUGGGGUUGAGCCCCAGAUGUGCACUGCAAUAGCCCACUCUGAGUGCACCCUGUAUUGACCUCCUCCUCCCGCCUACCUCACUUUCCUGCCCCCUACCAGUGUCUCAGGGUAGGGAGAGUGAGAGAAGUUAUACUCACACAGUCCUCACCUUAUGCUCUGCUGUGCUCUGAAUGUCUGUGCCCUGACCCCUAACUUUGUAUGAUGAACCCUUAUUCCCAACGUACUGAUAUUAGGAGGCAAGGCCUUUGGGAGGCAAUUAGAUCAUGAGUGUGGGGCCCUAAGAGAUAGGAUUAGUGCCCUUACAAAAGUACGUGAGAGCGCUCGCUCAUCCCUUUUGCCAUGUAAGGAGACAGAGAGAAGGCACUGACUCUAUGAAGCACAAAGCCCUCACUAGACCUCAAUCUGCCAGUGCCUGGGUCUUGGACUUCCAGCUCCCAAAACUGUAAGAAAUACAUGUCUGCCAUCAAUAAGCCACCCAGUCUAAGGUAUUUUGUUAUAGCAGCCCAAAUGGACUAAGAGAAGCUUUCUGAAGGCCAAAUAUCCUUUAAUGCAGAGACUAUGAAAUAAACAAGAAAACAGUGGUCGAGAAAGCUAAGAGCCUCCUCGGCUAGAAGCCAUGGUCUAGCCACCAAUCUGCCACCUGGAUGAAACCUAAACAGACUGUGGACGUCUCCCACUGUCCCUUCUUAAUCUCUGGUUGAUGCACUGGGCAAUAACCCUACAGAAAGCCAUUUGCUAAUUGCUGCAAUAAGGUAAAAUGUUGCAUUAAAGGGAAAAACUGGGCGAUUCAUCUAGUUAGUGAUUAGCAGCCUGAGAUUUCUCAGAUAUUACUCUCUCUAUUUCAGCAGGUUAAUAGAUAGGAAAAUUAGCAGAUAAUUUAAAUAAUGGCUCAUUUAACACAACGAUUCCUAAUUAUAUUAGCAGCCCAUCUGCUGAAGUCUGCCGGCAAGCCGAACCCACAGCAGCAGUGGCCUCUGCAGCCCAGCCACGCGGGGCUGUUUGCCCACAGUUAUUACAUAUGAUUGUAGGCACUGAUUCUGUUAAUCAGGCUCUUUCAGCGCUUCAGUUCUAGAAAUGAAUCUCAUUUACUUAAACACAUCUUGUUGAAGAAAGCAAAAAUAAUUGUCAUGCGCCAUUUCUCCACAAUCUAAAAUUAAGGUUGUUUUUAUAAAGGGAGGGGGGAAUCAUUUUCAAAGAGCACCACUUAACACAAACAGAUGUUACAGAACUUAGCUAAGAGGAGCUUGAUUAUACAAUUUAUUCUGGCUGUGUGUGCAUGUGUGAGAGUGUGAGCCAUUUCACUAUUGCUGUACAGGCUCCUACUAGAAAGACACAUGUUGAGAGACACAUGGAUACCUGGGCUCCUCUUGGGAAAACCACAGCUGCCAAGUGGACGGUGGCAGUGAAGGGGGGAGAGGGAUGGGGAGGGGGGAAUGGGGAUGGGCUUGGCUGCCUGAUUCUGGAAUGUGGUGGUUUUCCACCAAAUGCUUAGCAUUUAGCAGUGUUCACUUAAAAAAAAAAUCAACACAAUAUUUAUACAUUUGGGAAGGUGAAAAGAAUACCUUCUUAUAAAGGUGCAAGGCGGCCAUCCUGCAGUCUGGGAAGUGUGCCUUUGUGCAAGAACAGAGACAGGCACUUUGAAGGAGGAGGGGUUGGGGAAGGAGCUUUACGCUGAAUGGGUUGGCUAAACAUACAUAUUCAGCAGUUUACAGGAGGAACUAUGAAUAUUCAUGAAGGUGGUCCUGAUGCACGCAUAUUGAACAUCCAUGUGACAUGCCUCCUGUGUUCACUCUGGGCUGGAGUCUUAACAUUUAAGUGUAUCACAGUUAGGCCCUAAAUGUCAAAAAGGUCUUUUCAGGACUUGAAGGCACUCAAGUGAGCAGCCUCUGUAAAGCAACCAGAGCCAGUCCACUGUCAGGGGUCUCUUAUCUGGAGGAGGUUCCUGAAGUCAGUCUCCUGCCCAAUCCGAGCUGCAGUCAUGGCUGUGGAACGGGGUCAGUCUGCGUCUGUGGGCGGAUGAGCUGCAGUCAUUUGAAUCUGGCUGAUCUCCGGGCCGGUGAGUGUUUUAGCUGCUGGAGAAAAAGAAGACGCUGUGCCAUGAGAACAGAAUCCGUUCUCUAAGUGUAGAGUACGCGGCUCAACCCUUGCCUGGCGUGACCUGAGGUUGCUGCUUAUAAGUUGGUAUCUUGUUGCCACAAACAGUCUGUUCUAUUCUCUAUUUUAACAUUAGUACUGGUCAGCCGUUGUGCCUAAACCAUAAAAGGGAGAAAGUGUAACAAGGUGUGUCUGAUCUCCUGUCCCAUCAUGGCUGAGAACUAAGUUUUUAAGGUUUUUUUGGGGGGUCUCCUUGGCAAAAAGAAGGGUCUGUUCAGUUGGUGGGGGGCUUAGGAGCUUACUUUUAGUUGACAGCAGGUUGAUACCAACUGUGGAGGUUGAAGUUGAGGGAGCAGUAUUUAGGGUGUAGGAGGCCCGUUUUAAGAACCUAAGAGAUCACUCAAAUCCAAGUCCCCAAAUCCUAAUUCUUCUGGACCUGGGAGCUGUCACUACCUCUGCAGCUGAAACCUCGUUCCUGGGGUGAUAGGUUGGUUAGGGGGAAGGGGGACCUCCCUGACUGAGUUUUGAAACUUUCCAAAUAACACACAUCCCUUAUGAAGAGUAGAAAGGACACAUUUCUACAACGGGGAGAGGUUUCAUCCCAAACCCAUAGCCAACGCCCUUAAACAUAUUGGGAACUAUGUCCUUUCAUAACAUUCACAGGAUGCGAGUUUCACAUUCAUUUCCUAGCCAUGGUCCCAGGAUACACCUGUGUCUUCUCCAUGCAGGAAAGGAUAGUGACUUCAGGGUGUGCUGGACCGAGAUUCUAACCCCAGCUCAACCUCUUGUUCGCUGCAGAAUCUGAGGGUUGCCACCCUCUCUGAGCCUCAGCCCCCUUGUCUGUACCCUGGGUUAAUAAAGAGUGUUGCUCUGAGCAUCGUGCCUUGUCCUGCCUCUAUAAAAGCACCUGGCACAGUGGUGUUUGAACUUAAAGAGGGGUAGUGCGGCUUUUUCUCGUUACAGGGCUGUUUCUCAAAUACAUCACUCUGCAGAAAAAGGCACGCAUCAAAUUAUCCACCAGACUGGCAUUCCUUAUCUCUGCACUGAAACCCGCAGAGGUAGUGUCAGCCACACUCCCAUGUCCAGAAGGCAGCUCCUCCCUCAGAUGGACUCCUUAUCAUCUCCGAACAAACGGGGACCACACAGGCCUCCCCCUGGGAACAGCCUGGGCACCUCUGUUCCCUCUCUUCCCAGCCCGGCUCGGGCGAGUGGAGGGAAGCAGCAAGGAUGGACUUUCCUGCUGAUAGGAUUUCACGCCCUCUCCCACCCCCAGAAGGCGCAGGCACCUGCAGUCACAGGGGCUUUAAUCAGAAUCAGAAUCCUUAUUGCUGCUAGUCUGGACACAGACCGGCAGUGGUGUGCACAAUCUCCAUGGCCUGGCGGUGUGUUCAGCAGUCCUCCCAGGGUGCACAUGGGCUGCAACCCAGGGUGGACAUAACCGCACGACAGAACGUUUGGGAGCGGCCUGAGUGUCAGCACCACCUGUACGUGGCUGCAAGAGGGCAACGUUCCAGCUGGGAAUGCUCCAAUCCAAAGGUAUCCUAGGCUAUGGUGAGGAUGCCUGCUUUUUAAUCCCACCCUGGCAGGUGGUUGUUCUGCCCCUGGCUGCCCAGCUCUCCUGAUCCAGGUGCUGCCUCCACGGAACUCCCACCUUCCCUACCCCUAGGGGCUGUUUUUCUCCCUCUGGUAGCCACCUUGGUGUGCAACUGACAUCUUUCAGUGAUGGGUGACCCAGGCAGAGAUGGGGAGCAGAGGGCAGGGUGGGGUGGCAGGAACUAAAACAAAACAAACACCCCCAUCCUCAGCAGCCCCUGAGCCCUCAUACCCUUACCCUGUACCCCUGCCAUCCUGCCCCCUGCAUCAGAAUCAGAAGAAUUCUGGACACGGGAGAGGCACUGAAACCCUCAGAGGUAGUGUCAGCCACUCCCAUGUUCAGAAGGCAGCUCCUCCCUCGAAUGGACUCCUUAUCAUCUCCGAACAAACGGGGACCACACAGGCCUCCCCCUGGGAAUAGCCUGGGUACCUCUGAAGUCCUCUCUCCUCUCUUCCCAGCCCGGCUUGGGCGAGUGGAGCAGAGCAGCAAGGAUGGACUUUCCUGCUGAUAGGAUUUCAUGCCCUCUCCCACCCCCAGAAGGUGCAGGCACCUGCAGUCACAGGGGCUUCAAAUACUGUUUUCACCCCUGCAGAAGACACCGUGCGGUCCUGCGUGCACUGCCCACAUUCCCCUCUGGUGGAGGCCAAGGUGUGGGGAGAGCAGUCACUUGGAAGAGAAAGAGAAACUAAUCCUGUAGGCCACCACCCUUAGAAAGGUGUGUCUGUGGGUUUUCUCGCUCUUGGUCACAUUCUUACAUGUGGGUCGUGACUUGGUUUGUUCCACUUAACAUCCUAAGGCUCUGUUCCUCCUUAGGUGGCUGUGUAUGGGAGACGACUUUUGCCUGCAUUCCUCUCCCUUCCUAAGGCCCUAGCGGUAUGAGCUUGGUUUAGGGCUGUCUGGCCAGUGAUAGGCAGAACCAGGGCCAGAAUCAGGCAACGUCACCAUUGUAAGCGGGGCCACAGAGCAGCAUGCCUGAAGACAGGGUGUCCCAGCUGAGAGCACUGGCUGCUUGCCAAGAGACUGCAUAUGACUGCGUUGCCUUCAGGGAUCACCCCCGACCAGGGUCUGAUUCUCACUCUGCCUCUUGGAUGCAGAAACCAAACAUGGACUGAAAGGGGAGCAGCCGUAAGCAGCCUCACUCCAACCAAGCUUCCGCAGAUGUGGGCUGGAGGCCAGAGAGCCUGUGUUCCUUUGCAACAGGGGCUAUUCAGUGACAGGUGAGCUGGAUGUUUUCUUCUGCUCCAACAGUCCCUCCUGCACCAGGAGGGAGAUCAGUGGGGCGGGGUUGGGGAGGCAGAGAGAGAGAACAAGGAGUGCUUUCUCUAUAGAGCAUGCCACUGUCCCACUCUCUCCCUGGGACUGGAGUUUCCCUGGAAGCCUCUGAGGUUACACAAUCUGUCUUCCAGCAGGAUGCGAUCCUACUGACUAACGAAUGAAGACAUAUUUAAACAGUCAUGUGUGAGCGCAUUCACUGAUGCCAGUGAAAACAAUGAUCCUUUUCCCAUGCAAGAGAAAAUUCACACUCAACCACUUUUAAGAAAACAAACUAUUAAAAAGGACAAAAGAGCUCUGACCUUCAUACUUUGAUGAUAGUUGGGGAGGGGGAUAAGUAGAAUAACAUUUCUAUUAACAGGGCUAAUUAGCUUCUUCCUUUCCCAAGCGACAACUAAAGCCACUCCGAAAGAACCCCUAAGAACCCAUUAUGCAUUUCCCAAAAUUUUAGGACAUGUCAUUUUACCUACAAAUUAGUUCUUCCUGCACAUUUUCUAAAGAAGUGUGAAUAAAUUCUUAUCAAAGGUGUAAUGUCUUAGUUCUCAAGAUGUUUCUGGAGUUUCACUAAAUGUUCUCUUUUGCUCAAGAGUUGAUGACAGCAAUUGAAGACCCACUCCAAACCUGAACUUACAGAAAAAGAACAUCGUUAACUUUACCCUAGUUACCAACAUUCAAAUUUUGUCACAAUUUUAAAUAAACAUAAAAAAAGAAAGAGAUAAGGCAUAUACGCCUGCUGCAGCAUCAGGCAAGACUUUUAAGUUACUGCAAUUUAUAAGAUGAUUACUCCUUGCAAUUAUUCUAGAUAUUAACAUUCAUUUUUUCUAAAAUGUGGUAAAUACACAUAACUUAAAAUUUACCAUCUUAGUUCUUUCUAAAGGUGAAGUUCAAUGGCGUUAAGUACAUUCACAUUGUUGUGUAACCAUCAUCAUCACCCACCUGAGGAACUCACUUCAUUUUACAAAACUGAAACCCGUUACCCAUUAAACAACUCCUCACUCUCCAUUCCUGCGGACACCACCCUUAAUGUUUCUGUCUCUAUGAAUUUGCCUUCUCCAGGAACCUCACAUAAAUGGAAUCAUCCAGUGCUUGUCCUUUUGUAACAGUCUUCUAUCACAUAGCAUAAGGUCUUCAAGGUUCAUCCAUGUUAUAGCAUGUGCCAGAACCGUCUUCCUUUUUAAGGCUGAAUAAUAUUCCAUUAUAUGCUGUUAUGACCUGAUUGUUUGUAUCCCCUGCCUUUUGUUGCAAUCCUAAUCCCCAAGGUGGUGCUAUUAGGAGGCAGGGCCUUUGGGAGGUGAUUAGGUCAUGAGGAUGGAGCCUCAUGGAUGGGAUUAGUGCCCUUAUAAAAAGGACGGAGGAGCUCUCACCCUCUUUCUGCCAUCUGAAGAUGCAAUGAAGAGCAGGCAGUCUGCAGCCCAGAAGGUGGCCCUCGUUGGACCCUGACCAUGCUGGCACCUGGACCUUGGGUUUCCAGUCUCCAGAACUAAGAGAAAUACAUUGACAUUAUUUAUAAGCCACUCAGUCUAGGGUACUUUGUUAGGGCAGCCCAAACUAAAACAUAAGUAUAGACCAGAAUUUUGUUUAUCCAUUCAACUGUCCACAGACACUUGUGUUGUUUCCACCUUUUGCUAUUGUGAAUGAUGCUGCUGUGAACACAGGUGUGUGACUAUCUCUUCAAGACCCUGCUUUCAGUUCUUUGGGGGAGAUUCAUUUUUUCAGUAAAUAUUUAUUUCUAAUAAAUAUUAAGUGAGCAGCUACUAUGUGCCUGAGUCAUAGAGAUGAAGAAGAUACAGUGUUCCCCAUUGAAUUCAUGACCCGAUGUUAAGACGGAAGACCAGGCUUCUCUUUCAUAACAGUUUUCAAUUCCUGUGGAAUUGGCUUUUGCACUGGUGAGGGAUGAAGUACAAGCAACUACAGACAAUUCAUGUGAGGUUUUCCACUCAAAAUUUCAUUUCUCCUCGGCCACCCAACACGCUUAAAAAAAUUAGCCCUUCUGUUUAUUAUAAUAUUUUUCAAGGCAACAGAAUAAUUAUACUAUGUAAGACACAACAGAAGUAGGAAGGUAAAUUUUCUAAUGGGGAAGCGAAUUGCCAACCACACAAUCUGUUAUUUUCAAUCACGCACAAAGAUGACGGAAUAAUAAUCAUAUUGUAUUUAAAACUGACCUGCUGAAUGGCCUUGCAAUUUUACCACAUUUUAGCCAAAUGAAUCUUCAUAUCUAGAAUAAUUGCAAGGAGUAACCAUCUUAUAACUGGGGUAACUCAAAUGUAUCUCAUCUAUGAAAACACAUUAUAAAAUAUUGAUUAAGGUUAAGGGCUUUGAAAGCAGAAAAUGUGACUUAAUUUCUAAGUGUUGAAAAGGUGCAAACACUUCUUAGCAACAAUGACAAUUGUAUGUGAGUAUGUUAAUGAUAAUGACUGAUAAUCUACAAAUCCUAGUACUCACCUGAAUGUGGAAUGCUGUGACCUAGCUUUACAAUGAAAUCUUCUUAAAAUCUAAAAUUUCAUCUUCGUUUUACAGUAAUCUUUUUGCAUGGGAUCUGAUCAGCCCAAACUGAAUGCGCAACACAGAAAAACCAUUGUGUUCAAUUUGCUACCCUUCGCUAAUUUCAGGCCAGCCAUUUAAGAAACAGGCUAUUUCUAUGUGGCUCAUAUAAGGCUUUGAUGUUUUUUUCCAUGGUAAACCCACAAGAAAAAAAAAGUAUUUUAAUAGGCAUAUAGUGAUCAAAGAUAUUAUUCUCUUCUAAAAAGACUUUCUUAAAGCCCUUCCAAGGGAAUUUCUCACAAGAAAGCAUUAAAUCUCUAUUGACUGACCUCUACAUUUUUAUGGUGUCCAGAUAUUUUGAAAGAAUGCUAACCCAGAAGAGAAAUGACAGAUGCAUCCCUCUUUGGCUUCUAUGGCCAGCAAAAUACAGACGUUUGCUUUAAUUAUGGUAUAGAAAAGUCAUAAAGAAAUCUUUCAGAACAUUCUAGAGACAGGAAAAAUGAAGAAGACUUGGAGAAAAAAAUUGCAACAUAUUAACCUUGGCAAAGUCUUCAACAUACGUGUGACAGCCCUUGAACGUGAGUGUUAAAUAUGUUUGCUGGAGCAGCAGUGGAGACAGGUACCACCCAUGGUCCUAGCUCCAGCCCCUCUCCGUGGGCACUGGACCACCCCACUCAGUGCCCACUCAGGACAGCAUGCCCCUAAUUCCCUUUCUUCUGCAUCAUCAGUUUUUCCCCCUCUCCCAGGAUCACUCCCGCUUAUUAUACAUGGGACAUCAUAUCUCCCAUCUUGAGAAAGAAAAUGCCAACUCUUGGCCGGGCGCAGUGGCUCAUGCCUGUAAUCCCUGCAUUUUGGGGGGCCGAGGUGGCCAGAUCACCUGAGGUCAGGAGUUCAAGGCUAGCCUGGCCAACAUGUUGAAACCCUGUCUCUACUAAAAAAACAAAAAACAAAACAAAAACAAAAACAAAAAUUAGCCGGGCAUGAUGGUGAGUGCCUGUAAUUCCAGCUACUCGGGAGGCUGAAGCAGGAGAAUUGCUUGAACCCGGGAGGCGGAGGCUACAGUGAGCCAAGACUGCACCACUGCACUCCAGCCUGGGCUUCACCCCACAUUGUCCUCCAACCACAGCCCUAUCUCUCUGUUCUCCUCCACAGUAAAUCCCCUUGAAAUAGCUGAGUGAGCUCACAGGCUCCAGGUCCUCUCCUCCCUUUCUCGCUUGGGGCCACCACCCCCCAAAAACAGCUCUUCUCUCUGUAGCAAUGUCCUCUCCAGCCACGGCUGACCUGCUGAGGGGUUUGACGUCUUUCAAAACUCCUUUCCUCCCUGACCCAUCCCCGUCUUCAGGUAUCUUGCCUCACCAGGCUCCUCCUCCUUGGGGCCCUUUACUGACCCUUCCUCACCUUCCCCACCUCUAAGUUUUGGGGUGUCCCAGCGCCUGUGCUGGGACCUCACCUCCUCUCCCCAGGCUCAGUCCAUGGGAGCACAUGAAUGCUACCUCUGUGUAGCACACUCUCAAAAUUCAGGUGUCUCUGGGCCCAGAGGCAUGAUCAGCUGCUGCAGGUGCUCUCCCCAUGGGUAUUAGGAAUGGCAUCUCCAUUUGGCGUUUCCAAAACCACACUCCUCAUUCACCCUCGCAGCCAGGCAACUCUCAACAAUAGCACUCCCCCACCUUCCUCAAGCCUUCCUCCCCACAGCUCACCUACCAGGCUCCACCACAGGCCGCCUUGGGUUCCUCCAGCACACAAGCACAGCUCCUCCUCAAGGCCGUCGUACUGGCUCUUCCUUCUGCCUGGACACCCUUCCCCAAGCACCUUGCUCUCCCACCCCUCCUUUUUCAGGUCUCUGCUCCAGAGCUCCCUCAUUGAAGAUGCCUUCCCUGGCCAUGAUAAUUAUGAACUUGUGACACUUCCCUACCGCUGAUAUUCCUUUGCCCGUGUGGUAAUGUUCUUCAUAGCAUCUGUCACCAUCCUUUCAUAGUCUCUAUCACCAUGCCUACAACAUGUUGUCCUGCCUGUCCCUUUCAUGAAAGAGUAAGCUCCAAGAAGGCAGGAUUUUUGGUGACUGUUGCACCUACUGGAUGCUCAGUGCCUAGGACAGGACCAGACAAGUAUCACGUGUCCAUGAAAUAUCGAUUUGCCAAACGUUUGCAGUCACAUGUGGAUUACAGUAACUUCUCCACCAAAACAAUAACCAGACUCAGUCACUGCACUAGAUUUUAUGAAGAAACAUGAAAAUCUUGGGGGGUCAUCAUUUUGUCCUGCCUGAUCACUGGAAUCACCUCAGACACUUAAAAAAUAUAUACAUCUCCAGCCCAGAGAAUGGUGCCUGGAAUCCAUAUGUUUAACCAGGUCCCCAUGUAACUGCUGAUCAGCCAGGUCUGGGGAGCACCGAUUGGUCCCGUCUCUCAGUGACCGCACUGCUGUCUAUCAGCAUGCAGAGGUGACAGUGUUUCUGCUGGGUUUUUCAGUGAUGGGAAGUGCAUUACCUUAUGACUUGUUACAAUGUUAGGGCAUAUUUUUCACCACGUUCUCCCUUUUCCAGUUUAAUUCCAUAGCAUUUGUUGAGGGUCUGACCAGUGCCAGGAGCGAUGGCCUAUCCAGAAAUAAACAGCUAGUGAAAGGGACUUGGUGCCUGUCCCCAGGAAACGUCCAGUUGGCUGAAUACUUCCCAUCCCCUACUGCUUUCCAGCAGACUCAAGCCUGUCCUCUGCAAUAAUGCCCUCUUCCACCUGGCUGGCAGCUUGUUGAGUGUAGAAUGUUUCCUGCCUAGGACCCAUGGCAUCCCUCUGGGGUGGAGGUGGGUGGGCUGCAUACCCCCUCGAAAUCCUCCAAGCAUUGGUCGUGUGAUAUGAUUUCCUGCUCCUUCCUCAUCAUGGUAGCAUCUCAAAAACUCAUCUGGGGUCAAUAUCCAGCCCUCACACCACCUUCAACAAUCCCCUAAUCAAACAUCUAACCGUCAGUUUCCGCACAUGGCAACUAAGCAUUAACCAUAACAAAUAACAAACAGCUCACUACGGUCAUGCCUGAUCAUUUAGCACAAAGACUUUUGAAAAUAAUUUAUAGUGAAAACUGUCUUACAUGAUUUCACAAUUUCCUAAAACAGGAAUUAUACAAAAACCAAUUUCAGACAAAGAUGGGAUUUGCACUUAAUAUUUUUUAGCAUCCCAGUAUGCUCUGUUCAUCCAACACCAGGCCUCCAGUGGUUAGCAUUCAACCAAAGUUUUGAAACAACCAAAUUUUAAUUUUAAUCAUUGAAAAUGACCCUAAAACAUGCUGGGUUUGCUAGUUUGGGAAAUAUUGAUUACUGCUUAAAACCCUCAUCAAUUAACUCAAACAUUAUCUCCCUCCACUGUCAACACAGAUUUUCUUCGGAAAAGGGCCUAAGUGCAAACUUUGAAAAAACCCAUUUCACCACAUAAUUUCCUCACUUAGAUUUACACGCACAACAGUCUUGCAGCUUUUUGGGAGGGUGUUCAUAUGUUCCCAACUAGCUGUGCGUUGCGCCUCUUGGCUCUUGGACCUAAUAGGGAUUUGAGCUGGCUGCUCCAUCUUAAACCUUCUCUCCCCUGAGGAGCCUGCCAGGUUUUGAAGAUCAAUGAACUUCCCAGAUGGAGGCGAGACAGUAAGAGUCACAGCUGAAAGCCUCAUAGGUUUUAAGUGCUGGGUUUUGUACCAAACAUUCCAAUCCUUUUUGUUUCAAGUGCUCAGAAGGCAGGCAGCUCGAUGGCUUCAGCCCUUGGAUAACUGGCUAUAAAAGAAGCUAUAACUUUCAGGUUCACCUGAAUGUCACGACUUUGCCCCAAGUGGGAUGUGUCUUGAUUUGUGAAAAACAAACUCAACUCUACUUAAUGCAUUUCUCUUUAAACCACCUCUACUACGAUCAGAGCUGCGGGGCUGCUGGGACAUCAUGGAUACUAAGUAUGUGUCUGUUAUAUGCAUUUACCAAAGAACAAAAGACUGCGUAAGAUAAACAUUUUGCAUGGUCCAGAGGAUAAGACAGGUAGGGUAAGACAGCAGAGGGGCAACUGUGUCCCUGAGGGCCUCCUUGUCUCCUCAUUCCUGCCCAUAUAAAAUGGUCUGGUGAGCAAUGGCCAACUAAGAAGGCUAGGAUCAGGAUGCCUGAGCAGUGGAAGCUGCAGGAGGCUGUGAAUGCGGACAGUGGCUGAGCUGGCCAGGCUGUGUAUGCUUGAACCCAGUCAGGGCCUAGGUCAGAAGUGGGUUUGUGAGUCAGUGCAGGCUGCCAGAACAAAGCACCGCAGACUGGGCAGCUUAAACAACGGACACGUAUCUUCUCACGGUUGUGGAGGCCGGAAGUCUCAGAUCAAGGUGUGGGCAGGUGGCUUCCCCCUUGGCUUGCAGAUGGCCGUCCUCUUGCUCCUCUUGCUGCUUCUUCACAUGGCGGUCCCUCUGCGCACAUCCCUGGUGUCUCUCUGCAUGUCCUAUAUAAGGACACUUGUCAGACUGGAUCAGGGCCCACCCUCAUGGCCACAUUUUAACUUCAUGACCUCUUUUAAGGCCCCAUCUCCAAAGAUAGUCAUAUUUUGAAGUACUGGAGGUUUGGACUUCAACGUAUAAAUUUGAGGGACACAAUUCAGUCCAUCACAGGGGGCCGGGCUAGCACAGUGCAGGGAAGAGGUCCUGAGACCUGCAGAACAUGGGGUUACAAUCCAAGACCUCACGGGUGCACCUAAUCCGACAUCCAUAGUAACAAGACAGCAAUGAAGACAGCGGAGUCCACAUUCGCUUGGCUUCUAAGUUUCUACAGCCCAGUCCAUUCUCCACAAACCGAGGUAAACUAACAUCUGAAUUUAAAUGAUCGAAAUAUUUGGACAGACUCAUAAACUAAACGAAAUUUCAUUCUGAAAUAAUGGUCACCAGCUGUAUUUAUCAGAGUCCAGCCAGAAAGAGAAUUCUACUCCAGAGCUCCCAAGAAGAGGUUUUGGGUUUUUUUUUUGUUUUUUUUUUUAAUUAUACUUGAAGUUUUAGGGUACAUGUGCACAAUGUGCAGGUUUGUUACAUAUGUAUACAUGUGCCAUGUUGGUGUGCUGCACCCAUCAACUCAUCAUUUGACAUUAGUUAUAUCUCCUAAUGCUAUUCCUCCCCCCUCCCCCCACCCCACAACAGGCCCUGGUGUGUGAUGUUCCCCUUCCUGUGCCCAUGUGUUCUCAUUGUUCAUGUCCUUUGUAGGGACAUGGAUAAAACUGGAAACCAUCAUUCUCAGCAAACUGUCGCAAGGACAAAAAACCAAACACCGCAUGUUCUCACUCAUAGGUGGGAAGAAGAGGUUAUGAUGGAAGGGCUAUUUUUGGAGGUGUGAGCGGGGCACAAGGGACCUACAACAACGGCAGCCAUCCCCGCCCCUGGCCUGAGGGGCAGGGCACACACCACCUUGCCUGCCAGUGAGAGCUGGGGCUGGGAGAGGCUCUGCUUUCAGAAGCUAGAAGUGCGGAGGGAAUCGAAGCCCGGCUAGAACAAGUAGGAAGCGUGAGUGGGAUCCAUGCACUGGCUUUUCUCUUGCCCUUCUGAGCUGAAUUAAGAAAAGGAAGCCUGAACCACUCUAGGAAGCUCGCCUCCCUAGCACAGGACAGAAGGAAGCUGUCUCAGGAAAAUGCCCUACUCCUUGGGCAACCAACCACUCCUUGGACACUGGGUGGUACUACUUUCCCCGGGGCACCCAGACAAGACACUUCCGUCCAGGUGCUGGGCAGAGCCCCACUGCCACCCCCUGCAGCAUCCUCAGCAUCUUGCAGACCCCCGAGCAGCUGCCAGCAGAGCUCAGUUCUUCCUCCUCGCCAGCCUUCCCCUCCUCCCUGGGGCUCCCUCCAGAAGGAGGCAGGGAGGGAGGGUAGGAAGGCGCAGGUGGAGGAAGAUGAGGAAGGGACUCCGGCAGCCAGCUCCUCCCCGGCACCACAAGGAGGAAAGGGGAAAGAGGAGCAGACGCUGGGCAGCACCUUGACCUCUGAGAGGGUUCCUGUUAAAAAAGAAGGCGGUGAACCAUCAUUCUGAGCAAACUGUCGCAAGGACAGAAAACCAAACACCGCACGUUCUCACUCAUAGGUGGGAAGUGAGCAAUGAGAACACUUGGACACAGGAAGGGGAACAUCACACAUGGGGGCCUGUCGUGGGGUGGGGGGAGGGGGGAGGGAUAGCUUUAGGAGAUAUACCUAAUGUAAAUGACGAGUUAAUGGGUGCAGCACACCAGCAUGUCACAUGUAUACAUAUGUAACAAACCUGCACAUUGUACACAUGUACCCUAGAACUUAAAGUAUAAUAAAUAAAUAAAUAAAUAAAUAAAUAAAUAAAUAAAAAGCGUACAGAGAUCCACCAACACAUCACCCAAGUUGCCUAGAAGGGUGAUGGUUAUUCGGUUGAAGCUCCAGAAGCAGUCUGUUUUUGCUAGCAGUACUCAUACUAAAAUUAAAAACAAAAAACAAAACAAAACAAAAAAAAGGGCAGUGGUGCUGAAACUCGAGUGGGUGUGUUCACACCAGCCAGCUGGAAAGAGGAGUCAAAUACGCCACCCGUAGAGUAGAGACUGCAUGGAGACCCCUGUUGGAAGCUGAUAUUUAUGCUUUAAAAAGAUUGUUCAAUUCUAUCUGGAACUGCUUUGGUAGAGGAGCUUAUUAAAGAAGGCAGCUGGAAAGCCCUGGCAGGAACAGACAGGUGAAUGCAUCGCUCCUGAGCAUCUGUGAUAUUCUAGGAUCUAGCCUGAGUACCCAGAUACACUACGACUCAACUCAGAAACAGGCAAUUUCUCUUGAAUCAGACGAGGCCCAUCAUUCCCCGCAAGGCUUCAGAAUUCUCAGUGACAAGUGACUUUGAAAAUUUGGGGAUAAACUAGCCCAUCAAAAAAUAUAUAUUUUGGGGGCUGGGCACAGUGGUUUACACCUGUAAUCCCAGCACUUUGAGAGGCCGAGGUGGGCAGAUCACUUGAGGCCAAGAGCUCAAGACCAGCCUGGCCAACAUGACAAAACCCUCCUCUACUAAAAAUACAAACAUCAGCUGGGUGUGGUGGGGCGUGCCUGUAUUUCCAGCUACUUGGGGGGCUGAGGCACGAGAAUUGCUUGAACCCAGGAGGCAGAGGCUGCAGUGAGCCGAGAUUGCACCACUGCACUCCAGCCUGGGCCACAGAGUAAGACUCUGUCUCAAAAAUAAAAAUAAAAAUAAAUAUUUUUGAGUAUUUAACUUCUAUGUGUGUAUAUAUCUACCCCUUAUGCAUAUCCUCCCUUUGUACAUCACAUACAUUUUGAAAUUUAUAAAACACACAAGAGGCAGCUUAGUACACUGGUUCAGGGCACACAGUGGGGGACCAGCCAACCUGCUUUCAAAUCCUGGCUCUGCCCUCAUGAAUGAUGUUACCUCAGCCAUAUAGCUGAUCUGUGCUUCAGUUUCCUCAUUUGUAAAAUGGAGAUUAGGAAUAGUCAACUUGCAUAUUUCCUAAUGUCAAUCAGUAACUAGCAAACUAACCGGAAGGUACGGCUUAUUUCCAUUUUUUUUUUUUAACACAAGCAAAAUUAUUUGGAAGAUUUUUACAUAGGUAGGAAAUUCUGUCUCCAAGUUAAGGGUUCAAAAGUGUUUUAUAGGUAGCCAACUUACUCCAUUUUGGUAGUAGAAAUCAACUAAUGAUGUAAACAUGUACAGCUAUCAUCCUCAGAAGACCUCUCCACAGCAGGAGAUGUUACGCUUCUCACUUAGCAUUAAAAUAUCAUCUUAAAGGGACCUGUUUUGUGUUUAUUUUUUUCAAUAUCUACUAAGUACCAUACCACUGCCAGUCACUUGCUAACACCAUAAAUGUCAGCAAAUCUGGAACUGUGACUUUCUGAGAAAUAAAAUCAUGUAACUCAUCUUUAGAGACUGUAUUUCUUUAAAAAAAAAAAAAAACAAAAAAAACCUGGCUGGCUGGGUGCAGUGACUCAUCCCUGUAAUCACAGCACUUCGGGAGGCGAAGGUGGGAGGAUCCUUAAGCUCUGAAGUUUGAGACCAGCCUGGGCAACAUAGUGAGACCCCAUCCCUACAAAAAACUAAAAACGAGUUGGGUGUGGUGGCAUGCACCUGUGGUCCCAGCUACUCGGGAGGCUGAGGUGGGAGGAUGCCUUGGGUCUGAGAGGCUGAACCUGCGGUGAGCAGUAACUGUGCCAUGGCACUCAGCCUGAGUGACAGAGUGAGACCCUGUCUCAAAAAAUAAGAUAAAAUAAAAUAAAAGACAAACCAGACUGAUGCCAUACAAAAUCCUGGAAACCGAAGCCACCAGCAGGGUGCAAGCAAAAGAACAUUCGAGGAAGCACCAGUUGUGCUCACUGAGCUGCAGAAUCAGCGAUCCCUAGACCCCAGACCUCUGCAGUGUGUCACCGUCAACGAAGACCAGGACACCCGGCAGGUGAACCAAACGAGGUUACCUGUGUUUAUCACAACUUACCAAAGCCAAAUUCUUUAUUGCUUUAGGCAAAACAAAUUCAGACAUUCUAAUUUCUUCCUGCAUCCUCUAACUUUGGAGACCUUUGUCCUGGGAAGUUUCUUGGGAAAGACACCUCCAUGUGCCAUAUGCUACCUUCUUAGGUGAACAGUGGUACACAUCUAUCCUCUUUUCUCUACCUUGCUAUUCUCACUUGCAGUAUCUAAAGAUAUUCUCAAUCAUUUAUAUCAUGUUCGAUGGUGUAGAUUUACCAUAGUUUAAUCAACCAGUCCCCUUUUGAGGCACACGUGGGUUAUUUCUAAUCAUUUGCUAUGACAGUCGUGCCACGGUGAAUAGCCUUGUGAAUUGCUUUUCAUAUUUUUCCCCAGUGUAAUGUUUGUAUAGACUUCCAGAAUUGGAUUUCUCUCUCUCUCUCUUUUUUUUUUUUUGGUUUUGUUUUUUGUUUUGAGAUAGAGUCUCAUUCUGUCACCCAGGCUGGAGUGCAUUGGUGCAAUCUCGGCUCACUGAAACCUCUGCCUCCCAGGUUCAAGCAAUUCUCAUGCCUCAGCCUCCCAAGCAGCUGGGACUACAGGCAUGGACCACCAUGCCUGGCUAAUUUUUAUUUUUAUUUUUAUUUUUUUUAGUAAAGACGGGGUUUCACCAUGUUGGCCAGGCUGGUCUCAAACUCCUGACCUCAAGUGAUCUGCCUGCCUCAGCCACCCAAAGUACUGGGAUUACAGGCAUGAGCCACUGUGCCCAGCCCAGAAGUGGAUUUCUGAGUCAAAGGAUAAAUGUAUGUAAUUUUGCUAGCCAUUUCCAAAUUCCUCUCCAUAGAAAUUAUAUGAUGGAAUAACAUUUUAAUAGAACCCUCUCUUGCCAUACAACUGCUUUCUAACAAGCCAUGUAAGUUAUACUUCUCAACCCUUGAAUGCUAUCUUGGACAAAGUCUACAUUUUUCGAAAAGCUUUGUGGUCAUACAUUUGAUUUUAGGCAUUUUGAGUCCAGUCCUAUCUCAUAUCAAAGUUUCUAUCUGGCAUCCAACGUGACGGGCCUGCUUUAGGCUUGGCGGUCUAUAGUCGGGGAGGAGAGGUGUUGUGGUUGGAUUUACUGCUGUUUCCCCACCUUGCUCAUGACUGUGCCUCUGACCUCACCAGGAUUGAAACAGGGAGAAUGGAGGUGUGAGGGGCAGGAAGUUUUGUAUUUGACUGCACGGUUGGUUCACUCUGGGUGUGGCUGACUUCACUAAAAUUGAAACACAGAGAAUGGAGGUGUAAGGGACGGGAAGUUCUGUAUUUGACUGCACAGCUGGUUCACCCUGGGCGUGGCUGGUGUCCACAUACCAACCCUUCCCCUAAUGGGUCCUCCAUGGGUUCUUCUGAGCCACUGCCUGGACAUCUCCCAUCUGCAGCUUCCUGACACAGACAAAACCUCAGGUGGCCAACAGGGACUUAUCACUCCCUCCUUAGUCUCUACCACCUGACAGUCUAACCCAGAGGUCAGCAAGCUUUUUCUGUAUAGGGCCAGACAGUAAAUAUCAUAGGCUUUGGUGAGACGGCAUCUGUGUCAACCACUCACCUCUGCCAUUGCAGUGUGAAAACAGCCUCAGGAAAUAUGAAACAAACCCCAGCAUGGUUGUGUUCCAAUAAAACUUUAUUUAUAAAAACAGGUAGCUGGCCAGAUUUGGCCCACAGGCCUUCCUUUGCCUACCUCUGGUCAACCCCAUAUUAACUCCCUUUGGUGCUCUUCUCAUGGUGAAGGCCUUGACCCGUUCCUGACGACCAGAGUCUAGAUCCCUUUAACUGGGUCCGCUUCUUCCCUGCUGGAAAUAAGUGCCCUGCCUGCCAAUAACAUCAACAAAAACAACAGUAAACAGACUUUCAGAUGUGUCCUGCCAUGCUUUGCUGAUUUUGAAGAAAGGAAAAGAAUGGCAAAUUGCCUUAAGGUACUUUAUUAUUAUUAAGCUAUUUUUUUUUCUCAAAAAGUAUGAGGGUGAAACAUUUAGAAUAUUUUUGGCUACAAGUAAACAGAAAAUUAUAGAUUUAGGAUGGCUCAAAUAUGUAAAGGAAGCCUCUAGUGAUAUCAGACCAAUAGCUCAAAAACAUCAGCGACAGCAUCACUGCUGUUCCCUGACCUCUCUCCCAAAGUCAGAAGUCAGCUAUCUCUGUUGAGGGCCUUGUAUUUUCAUUAAAGUCAGAAAACGGGGAAGUAUUAUCUUGGCCACACUUGACAGUUUUAUCAGGAAAAUAUAAGCUUUCCCUAAAGUCCCCCAGGAAACCUCCAUUUAGGAUCCACUGCCUACAACUGUGUCCUUUGUUGCAAAAGCAGCUACAGCAAAAAGCUUCAGGCCAGAGGAAAGCGAGCUGAGAAGGUGUUUUAUUCAGUCACCCAGCUGAUAUGGUCAGGUUACGUGGAAUCAUUUUCCCUGCCAUGUUUCAAAAACUAGAUAUGAUAAGGUCAGGUGGGCACAGCUACCCUAAUGGACAGCAGAGGCAAAGCAGCAAUCAGAACAGUCUGGCUCGUGUAGAGCUCCGGCAUUGGUUAAUUAAUCAUGGUGUUCCUAGAAGUGAAAUUGAUAGGAAGCCCACUGCAUUCCUACUUAAUUUAUACAAGCAGAAAACUUCUAGGUCAAAUGGCCAAAACACUAAUUUGAAUUAUAAAAACAGAGAAUCAUGGCUCUUCAAUCAAUUUCCAGACUUGAGCUAGUUUACAGACCCAGAACCCCUUGAAUGAAGGGGAGGUCGGGUCCCCUUGAGGAAGGACCCCACUACAUUACCGACAAUGUAUGCAGUGAAUCUUUCUCCCAUCCUUCCCCAAAGAGACCUCUGGCCUUUUAUCAGGGUAACUGUGCACUGGGGAAAGGGAGAUGAUCAGACAUUUCAGGGACUACUGGACACUGGCUCUGAGCUGACGUUAAUUCCAGAGGACCCAAAAUGUCACUGUGGUCCUCCAGUAAAGUAGAGGCUUACGGAAGUCAGGUACUUAAAGGAGUUUUAGCUCAGGUCCAACUUACAGUGGGUCCAGUGGGUCCUCGGACUCAUCCUGUGGUCAUUUUCCCAGUGCCAGAAUGCAUAAUUGGCAUAGAUAUGCUUAGUAGCAGGCAGAACCCCCACACUGGCUCCCUGACUGGUAGGGUGUGGACUAUUAUGGUGAGAAAGGCCAAAUGGAAGCCAUUAGAGCUGCCUCUACCUAGAAAAAUAGUAAAUCAAAAACAGUAUCACAUCCCUGAAGGGAUUGUGGAGAUUAGUGCCACCAUCAAGGACUUGAAGGAUGCAGGGGUGGUGAUUCCCACCACAUCCCCAUUCAACUCUCCCAUCUGGCCUGUGCAGAAGACAGACGGAUCUUGGAGAAUGACAGUGGGUUACUGUAAGCUUAACCAAGUGGUGACUCCAAUUGCAGCUGCUGUACCAGAUGUGGUUUCAUUGCUUGAGCAAAUUAACACACCUCCUGGUACCUGGUAUGCAGCCAUUGACUUGGCAAAUGACUUUUUCCCCAUUCCUGUCCAUAAGGCCCACCAGAAGCAAUUUGCCUUCCGCUGGCAAGGCCGGCAAUACACCUUUACUGUCCUACCUCAGGGGUAGGACAGUAAACUCUCCGGCUUUAUGUCAUAAUCUUAUUUGGAGAGACCUUGAUCGCUUUUCGUUUCCACGAGAUAUCACACUGGUCCAUUAGUUUGAUGACAUUAUGCUGAUUGGAUCCAGUGAGCAAGAAGUAGCAAACACACUGGACUUAUUGGUGAGACAUUUAUGUGCCAGGAGAUGGGAAAUAAAUAUGACUAAAAUUCAGGGACCUUCUACCUCAGUAAAAUUUCUAGGGGUCCAGUGGUGUGGGGCUUGUCAAGAUAUUCCUUCUAAGGUGAAGGAUAAGUUGCUGCAUUUAGUCCCUCCUACAACCAAGAAAGAGCACAAUGCCUAUCUGGAUUUCGGAGGGAACACAUUCCUCAUUUGGGUGUGUUACUCCAGCCCAUUUAUCGAGUGAGCCGAAAGGCUGCCAAUUUUGAGUGGAGUCCAGAACAGGAGAAGGCUCUGCAACAGGUCCAGGCUGCUGUGCAAGCUGCUUGGCCACUUGGGCCAUACGACCCAGCAGAUCCAAUGGUGCUUGAGGUGUCAGUGGCAGAUAGGGAUGCUGAUUGGAGCUGUUGGCAGGCCUCCAUAGGUGAAUCACAGUGGAGGCCUCUAGAAUAUUGGAGCAAGGCCCUGCCAUCUUCUUCAGAUAACUACUCUCCUUCUGAGAGAGAGCUCUUGGCCUGUUACUGGGCUUUGGUGGAAACUGAAUGUUUCAAGUCACCAUGCGACCUGAACUAUCAUGAACUGGGUACUUUCUGACCCAUCUAGCCAUAAAGUGGGUCAUGCACAGCAGCAUUCCAUCAUCAAAUGGAAGUGGUAUAUACGUGAUUGGGCUCGAGCAGAUCCUGAAGGCACAAGUAAGUUACAUGAGGAAGUGGUUCAAAUGCCCUGGUCUCCACUCCUGCCACCCUGCCUUCUCUCCCUUAGCCUGCACUGAUGGCUUCGUGGGGAGUUCCCUAUGAUCAGCUGACAGAGGAAGAGAAGACUAGGACUUGGUUCACAGAUGGUUCUGCAUGAUAUGCAGGCACCACCCGAAAGUGGACAGCUGCAGCACUACAGCCCCUUUCUAGGGCAUCCAUGAAGGACAGCAGUGAAGGGAAAUCUUCCCAGUGGGCAGAACUUCGAGCAGUGCACCUGGUUGUGCACUUUGCAUGGAAGGAGAAAUGGCCAGCUGUGUGAUUAUACACUGAUUCAUGGGCCGUAGCCAAUGGUUUGGCUGGAUCAUCAGGGAAUUGGAAGAAGCAUGAUUGGAAAAUUGGUGACAAAGAAAUUUGGGGAAGAGGGAUGUGGAUGGACCUCUCUGAGUGGUCAAAAAUUGUGAAGAUAUUUGUAUCCCAUGUGAGUGCUCACCAACGGGGGACCUCACCAGAGGAGAAUUUUAAUAAUCAAGUGAAUAGGAUGACCCUUUCUGUGGACACCACUCAGCCUCUUUCCCCAGCCACCCCCGUCAUCACCCAGUGGGUCCAUGAACAAAGUGGCCAUGGUAGCAGGGAUGGAGGUUACACAUGGGCUCAGCAACAUGGACUUCCACUCACCAAGGCUGACCUGGCUAUGGCCACUGCUGAGUGCCCAGUUUGCCAGCAACAGAGACCAACACCGAGUCCUCAAUAUGGCACCAUUUCUAGGGGUGAUCAGCCAGCUACCUGGUAGCAGGUUGAUUAUAUUGGAACUCUUCCAUCAUGGAAAGGGCAGAGGUUUGUUCCCACUGGAAUAGACACUUACUCUGGAUAUGGGUUUGCCUAUCCUGCACACAAUGCUUCUGCCAAGACUACCAUCCGUGGGUUCACGGAAUACAUUAUCCACCGUCAUGGUAUUCCACACAGCAUUGCCUCUGACCAAGACACUCACUUUAUGGCUAAAGAAGUGUGACAGUGGGCUCAUUCUCAUGGAAUGCACUGGUCUCACCAUGUUCUCCCCAUCAUCCUGAAGCAGCUGGAUUGACAGAAUGUUGGAAUGGCCUUUUAAAGUCACAAUUACAAUGCCAACUAGGUGACAAUACUUUGCAUGCCUGGGACAAAGUUCUCCAGAAGGCCGUGUAUGCUCUGAAUCAGCGUCCCAUAUAUGGUACUGUUUCUCCCAUAGCCAGGAUUCACGGGUCCAGGAAUCAAGGGUUGGAAGUGGAAGUGGCAUCACUCACCAUCACCCCUAGUGAUUAAGUAGCAAAAUUUUUGCUGCCUGUUCCCAUGACAUUAAGUUCUGUUGGUCUAGAGGUCUUAGUUCCAGAGGGAGGAACACUGCCACCAGGAGACACAACAACAAUCCCAUUAAACUGUAAGUUCAGAUUGCCACCUGGACACUUUGGGCUCCUCCUACCUUUAAGUCAACAGGCUAAGAUGGGAGUUACAGUUGGCCGGGGUGAUUGACCCAGACUAUCAAGAUGAAAUCAGUCUACUACUCCACAAUGGAGGUAAGGAAGAGUACUCAUGGAAUACAGGAGAUCCAUUAGGGCAUCUCUUAGUAUUACCAUGCCCUGUGAUUAAGAUCAAUGGGAAACUACAACAGCCCAAUCCAGGCAGGACUAGAAAUGGCCCAGACCCUUCAGGAAUGAAGGUUUGGGUCACUCCACCAGGAAAAAAAAAUCACAACCUGCCAAGGUGUUUGCUGAAGGCAAAGGGAAUACAGAAUGGGUAGUAGAAGAAGGCAGUCAUCAAUACCGGCUACAACCACGUGACCAGCUGCAGAAACGAGGACUGUAAUUGUCAUGAGUAUUUUUUCCUUGUUUUGUUAAAAACAUGUUUGUGCAUGUUUAUACUUGUACUAAGAAAAUAUCUUGAUUUUAUUUCCUUUUUCCUUUAGCAUGUGACAUAAGAUUUACUGACUUCAAAUCAGCAUUUAAGUAUUGUUAACUUUAUGUAAUAGUAUUUGGGUUGGAGACUGGUGUGUUUCAGGUUGUACAAAGAAUAGUUGUAAUAUGUUAGGCAUAAUUAUGACCUUAUUAUUGUCUUUAUUUGAAGAUUAUGUAUGAUCUCAGAUGUGUAUGGGUUCAAGUUGACGAGGGGUGGACUUGUGAUGGUUCAUACUGAGUGUCAACUUGAUUGGAUUGAAGGAUACAAAGUAUUGAUCCUGGGUGUGUCUGUGAGGGUGUUGUCAAAAGAGAUUAACGUUUGAGGCAGUGGGCUGGGGAAGGCAGACCCACCCUUAAUCUGGAGGGCACCAUCUAAUCAGCUGCCAGUGAAUAUAAAGCAGAAGAAAAAUGUGAAAAGGAGAGACUGGCCUAGCUUCCCAGCCUACAUCUUUCUCCCGUACUGGACGCUUCCUGCCCUUGAACACUGGACUCCAAAUUCUUCAGUUUUGAGACUCAGACUGGCUCUCCUUGCCCCUCAAACUUGCAGACAGCCUACUGUGGGAUCUUGUGAUUGUGUAAGUUAAUACUUAAUAAACUCCCCUUUAUCUAUAUGUCUAUGUCUCUAUCUCUAUUAUCUAUAUCUAUCUCCUAUUCUGUUCCCCUACAGAACCCUGACUAAUAAAACAAUGAAAAUAUUUUCUAUACCUUGUCUCCAUACAGUCCUUAACUUCCAAUCAAAUUUGAAUGCUUCUCUUUUAAAUAUGAACAGACAGCCAAUAAUCAUGAGAUAGUGAGGAAAGCCUCUAGCAUGAGACACAAAGACCAUGACAAACACACUGAAACAAGGAACUUGGAGGAGACAGAUAAAAAGCAGGAAGCAGAAAUCAAGUGUUAAGCAAAAUCAUAAUUUUCUCAGAGAAAUAUAAGAAGAUGUGCAACUUUGAAACAGGAAUAAGGUGAAAAACAAACAAAAACAGAAGCAUUCAGAGAAAAAGAAAGUGAUCCUGAAAACUAAAAUGUGGGUGGCAGAAAUGAAAAUGGAGAGAAGAACCAAAAAGACAGACAAGGGAAGCAGAGAGACCAGACUAGAAGGUGCAACUUCUGAAUAAUGGGAGGUCCAAGAAGAGAGAACAGGCAAUUACUAGACAAUUUCUCAGACAUGAACGUUAUGAGUUUCUAGACUGAAAAGAUUCACCAAGUGCCCAGCAUUUUUUUUUUUUUUAAAGAUCCAGACUAAGACACAUCAACAAGAAAUUUCCAAAUACCAGGUCAAGAAUACUUCACAUGUUUCUGGAGGGAAAGAAAACAGUUCAUAUACAGUGAAUCAGGAAUUACAAUUGCAUCAGACUUAUCAACAGCAUCGGGAAGAUAAUGUGAAAAUACCUUCAAAACUCUCGAGGGACACAAGAAGAUGCUGCCUGGCCACAGGAGCGAGACUGCUGGCCUCCAAUCAGUCUUCUGGGCAGGCCUCUGAUGCAAUUACAGGGCUAAGGAACCACGGUAACCAAUGUGCCAUUGGCUGUGCUAAAACCCAGUGGCCCCAGGAAGAAUCCUGUUGACACUGGCUUGGAACAUGAGGCUUAAGGUUGAAGUUGAGCAGGACCCUGUGGAGAGGCUAAAGCAACUCCAUCCUUGGAUUCCCACCACCAUGUUGACUUCUGAUUGACCCCAGUUCCUGGAAGGCUUCUAAGGUUUCUCUUAUCUAUUGUUCCUUAUGUAAGAGAAAGUACUUAUUGGUAAAUCCUGCCCUUAGCUCAGGCAAUCCUGCCCUUAGGCAGAUUCACAUAGGAUUCUUGCCUUUUCGACUGCCCUAGACAUUCCUUCCCUAUGGUAUGUAAGCCCUGGGUCUGGGGGGGUGAUGGGUAGGAAUCCACCAUCUCGUCUUGCCACCACUCUAGACACAGGCAUGACUUCCAUUCAUAAGUCCCUAUUAAAUAUUUCUUUCUGAGAAACUGGAUUUGGCAGCCUCUUCUUCGGCCUCUCAGCUUCCUUGGACUCUGGGGUGGUUUGCAUAGGCCUGCCAACCAUGGAACACCCUGCCUCUCCCUAGGCCUGAACACAAAUAUUGGGAGUUGUUUUCAAUUCUCUACUUAGCCUCAUGAUUCAUAAACCCAGGCAAUGAGGCAUAUGUCCAUGGAUACAGAGAUGAGCAGGCCCCAAGUGAAGCACCAGCUCUGACAUGGAGGGGAAGACGUGGGUUCUGCUGGGCACAGAGUGAUUCCACUCUCUAUAAACACGGCCCACAGGUGCCUGCAGCCCGACCAUUCUGAAUGACACUGCCUUCUCUCCUAUUUGGGUGCAAAAAGCAAGAAGGAGGGAUCAUAGAAGUUGCCCCUGGACUACAGGGUUAAACCAAAAUGUACGUAUAUUGACUAAUGGAAGGAUGAUAACAAUAUUACGUACUUUUAAAAUGUGUGUGUACUUAAGAACUGACGUUAUACAGAAUAUAAAGGAACUACUACGUAGUAAAUUCUUAUAUAUACAAAAGCUGUGGGAGCUAUACUUUGGUAAACUUCCUGAUGGAUUACAUGGAAGUGGUAGUGGGUCAGGAAUUUAACACUUGCUUGCAACUUUGUUGUGCUGCCAGUCAACCAUACAAAGCCCAGCCAUUCUAAAGGGUUUGCAAGCUCUUAACGUUCAGAGCACUCAACUCUCAAAGGCGGUUUUGUGGUUGUUUAUAACCUCAAACACGAUCACCCUUUGCCCCCCAACCAUUUUCUCUUGCUCAGUAUCUACACAUCACAUCUUCACCUUCCAAUAAAAGUUCAAGGAACUACACAGCAAUGACAGGCACACUCCAAACUCACAGAGGCUUUCAUGAGUUAGAGUCUAGAGCCUGCUAGCAGGUUAGGAUUUUAAAGAACAGUUUUAAAACUCUGUUUUGUGAUUCCUGGGCCAAAAUAAUGCUCUCAAAUACGUGCAGUGGUAGAACAUAUUCGAUCUUUCAUUCCUCAAAUAUCAUCCUAACUUGUGCCAGCCAUGGUUCUAGCACACAGUGGUUGUUCUAGGCACACAGUAGCCACAGCAAACUGCCAGCCACACCCUUCCUGGGCACUUGACUCUACAGCCUCUAAUGCAAGCACCUGUGACUCUCUGCAGAUGGCUUCUUUGGCCAGCUAUUGAGCCAGAAACGCUGAAGAGUGAACCCCCUGUGAGCUGCCCUCCACCCACGGUUGGCAGGAGGGAGUGAUAAGGCCCAGCUGCCUUGCCCCCUAGUCAGCACAGCUGAAUCUAUCUGAUGUCACCUCUCAGAGUUCCCCAGUGGGGAGUGGGUCUCAGUGGCCCACAUUUAUAACCUCCUCCAUGACACACACUCUUACCUGCGACUCCUGGUGAGGCAGGAGGCGGGACUUGAUUCCAGAGGCAAGGCUUGGACAUAGGACCAAACUGAGCACUAGCUAAAACAGGUCAGGGCAGAUGCAGUUUUCCAUAGGACACACCCACCAGCAUGCCAUGUCGGUUUACCGUUUCCAUGGCAACACCCAGAAGUUACCACCCCUUUCCAUGGCAAUGACCCAAUGGCCCUAAGGUUACCACCCUCAUCCUAGAAGUAUCUGCAUACACCGCCCAUUAAUUUGCAUAUAGUUAAAGGUAGGUAUAAAUAUGACUGCAGAACUGCCUCUGAGCUGCUACUCAGGGCACACAGCCUAUGGAGCAGCCCUGAUCUGCAAGGAGCGGCAUCUCUGGCGCUGCUGUGCACAGCUGCUUCCAUGAAAGCUGCUGCCUAACACCACCAGCUCACCCUUGAAUCUUUGGGCAAAUCCAAGAACUCUCCCAGGCUAAGCCCCAGUCUUGGGGCUUGCCUGUCCUGCAUCAUCUGGCAACCAGCAAAGGGACAAGGACAGCGGAGAUGGUGGCAAUUGGCAGAGAGGCAAGACAGCAGAGACAGAGAGGCAGCAAUUGGUGAGAGACAAGAGACAGCAGUUGGCAAGACAGCAAGAGACGGUGAAGCAGUCUGUGAUUGAGGAUGUAAGAUCUGUAACACUGAGGAAGUACCAAUAAAGAGCUGCUAACACUACCGAGCUCUAACCCUAACCAGUGCCUCUUUUCACAGCCAUCAUCUUUCCCUGGCAGGUGGUGAAACUGAGUGGACAGCCAAGUGUCCAUAGUACAGCUGCCUCGUGUGGGACCCACUGCUCUAACGAGCCAGCCCCCGACACAGAAGCUGAGCACCCCCAAGCUGGGGAACCUAGAGAGACCUGCACCCGGGUCCCACGUGGAAGACUGGCUGGUGCCAUUUUGUCUUCUGUGGAUGGGUGAGAGUCCCCUUUGCACCCUCCCCCAGUAAUAUCAGGUAAGCUAGGAAAUAAAAGCCUUUGGCUAAGCGGUCAGUUCCCCACGGUUUAGGUGCCUUGAAGCACAUUCUUGCCACCCCUUCACCUGGUUCUUUCUCCUCUGACUCCAUUUUAUUGCUCCACUUUGGUUUCAUUUUCAGUCCUAACAUGUAUGUCUUGUUUGGAGUCUUAUGUUUGCUUUCGACUUUCUGUUAAUUGUAUUUGGGCAAUUGUUUAAGGCAGGACACUUGGUUGUGAGAGGUCCCCUGUUGUGUUGACUCUGGGAUACCAGAGUCACGUUGUCACGUUGUUCUAUGUUCUGUAACCUGGUCUUGGGUUCACGGGGUUGGCCGCCCACUGGGUACCCCAGGGUUUUUGGCACUGCUGUGCACAGCUGCUUUGGCGAGGGCAUCCUUGUUGGCUGAAACGCAGGCAUUUUGGGUUCUCAGCAUCGGUAUUAUAGGCCACCCUCCAGAUGCUCUGGGGUUUUUAGCACUGACAUUUCCUCUAGGAUUGUGGGUUAUACCCCUUUCGCUAGGCGAAUAUUGGUCUUGUCUUUUUCCACCCUGAAGUUAGGAGUAUUAUUUUCCUAAUAGCCAAUUGCAAGCUCCUUCCUGUGUACUGUCUUAUAACUCCCUUGCCUAAGCUGCUCUUGGUCAAAGGAAUUGGGAGCUCCCAGGCUCCUGGCCUGGCAGUCAGCCACCUACAGUGGUAGACAAGUGGCCAGCCCAAUAUUUUUUUCAGUAUCUCCACUACUGGGUAGGUUCUUCAGCAAGUCAGAGCCUCUGAGGUCUCCCCUUGGGCAACGCUGUUUACCCCUUUCCCUUCCUCCAUUUGUUUAGCCCCCUCUCCACCCAACUCUAGAUCUCUAUGGAAUUUAGGCUCCACAUUCGACUGCCCAUUCGUAGCUCAUAAUCCAUUUUUAUAACACCUUGCUAUCUAUAUUUACACCUUUAAAGAACACGGGAAUUUAAGAGGGAAGAGUAACUAGGCUUUUGCUAAACUUGGGCUAAUAAAACCCUCUGUAGAGAGAUCCUUAAUAUAGGCAUGGGGACAACAAGGAGUAUCCCAAGGGACUCGCCGCUAGGGUGUCUUUUAAGCUAUUGGAGCAAAUUCAAAUUUGGCUUAAAGAAAAAGAAACUCAUUUUGUAUUGCAACACCAUUUGGGUUAAAUACAAGUUAGAUGACGAAUAUAUCUGGCCUAAACAUGGUUCUAUAUACUAUAGUGAUAUUUUACGAUUAGGCUUAUUUUGUAAAAGAGAAGGAAAAUGGGAAGAGAUCCCUUAUGUACAGGCUUUUAUGGCUCUAUACUGGAUCACGUUACUUCCAGGCAUUAGAAUGCCAUGCAUAAGGGAUCCCCACCUAGCUGCUCCCCAUAGAAAGUUCAUAAGCCUCCCCAGAGUCUCUUCAGUCCCCCAGUCCUGAGUGGGGGUUCUCGCCAAUUCCCUAAUGAGAUUCCACCCCAAUAUCAUCAGGCACCUUUCCCCCUUAUCCAACUAGCCCUAGCCUAUACCCUCUGCUGCCCAAGAAAAUGAGCCCAACCAGUACACCAGGAGUGGGGCUCCAUAUCAGCCCCUAAGGUCAAGCCUGUGUCCACUGUGGAAAGUAGUUGAUGGAAAUGAGGGAACACUCAAAGAGUACAUAUGCCACUUUCCAUGUCUAAUUAGACCUUAUAAAAGGAAAGAAUUGGCCAGUUUUCAGAUAAACCAGAAAAGCUUAUACAAGAGUUUGUUACGUUGACUAUGUUCUUCAAAUUGCCACGAUUUACAAAUAUUGUCAUCCGCUUGCUGUGCUGUGGGGAAAAAAAAGUAGAGGAAAAAGUGUGUGGUUAAGCCAGUCAAUUAUGACAAGGUUAAAGAAGUAACUCGGGGAAAAGAUGAAAAUCCCGCUCUGUUUCAGGGUCUUUUAGUUGAAGCACUCAGGAAAUAUACUAAUGCAGGCCCAGACACCCCAGAAGGGCAAGCUCUCCUGGGUAUACAUUUUCUCAUUCAAUCUUCUCCUGACAUUAGGAGGAAUCUACAAAAAGCAGCAAUGGGACCUUCAAGUCCUAUGAAACGACGCUUAAACAUAGCCUUUAAAGUUUACAACAACAGGGACAGGGCAAAAGAGGGGAGUAAAAAGAAAUAGCCAAAAAGUACAAUUGUUAACAGUGACUUUAAGCCUCCUUGCCCCUCAGGAUUACUCAUCUUGAGAAAAUGUUACAAAAUUAGCAUCUGGGAUGCCUAGACAAGACUUGAUGCCUGACUUGCUGACCCCUGGGCCAGAAUCACUGCGCCUACUAUACGCAAAAGGGCCCCUGGCAAUGCAAAUGUCCUAACUGCUCUGGUGAGAGAGAACAAUAACAACAAAAAGCUUCCAUCAAUACUAGAGCUAACCUUCUCCUACUAGCCCCAGUGAGCUGCUUAGCUCAAGUAAGUUUACUGUCCCAGAGGACAGCUUUCCACAGUGGCAGAUAAGCAGCCGCCUGAACAUUUUUCUUUGGUAUUUCCACCACUGAGUGUGCUCUCCAGUGGCGUGGGGACUCCAGAAUCUCCUUUUGAGCAAUGCAGUUUGCUUCCUCCCCUUUUUAGUUGAUGCUAUGGGAUUCCCUGUCCUGCCUUUUCCUGUUUUCCAUACCUAUCGGGGCAAACAAAAUUUGGCCAGGUAGAUGGGUCCCAGUUCUGUAAAUAACUUGAAUCCAGUUGUCUUGUAUAGGUCAUUUUAUUUAAUAUGUUUUUGGGUAUAUGUACAUGUAUUGUGAUGUGUGUUACAUCUAGCGUGCUGUCAAACUGGCUUAUAGAUAAAAGAACACUCAUACAUUCAACAAAUAAGACUACUGAAAGCUUAUUAGUUUGAAGAGAAUCUUGUAUCUUCUAAAAUUUAACUUUAGGAUUUUUACCUAGGUAAGUCACUGAUGUUCAUAGGCUUUAAAAUGGUUAAAAUGGCUUUAAAUGGUGACCAGCUUUGCAUGGUACCUUGGUUCUCGGUGAUCUAGAUAAAGUUAAAAGUGAAAUAAUUAAAUACACGUAAAUGGGAUAUGCUUAAUGUGUGGUUUAAAAUCAUAAAAUGGUAGAAUGGUUCUCAGUUAUAGAAUGACAAUGUCUAGUGUGAAGUUCAUGACUUCUUCCUUCCUAGGUUUCCAUAAAAUGUGCUAAAGAAAUGUAUUCUUUAUUGAGAAAAAAUUUUUUGUCUAAUCCGGAAGUUACUAAAUGGGAGGUUCAAAACAUGAGUGAACCAGUGAGUAGAAAAGAGAGAUGUAAAGAAUAUUAUGAAUAGAAAAUGUAUUUUUUGUUUGUUUUGCAAGGAAGGAUAUAAAGAAAGAGUAAUUUUAUAUGUGGAGGAAUCCUGUAUAGUAAAUUCCCUAUCCUAGAGUAAAAUAACUUUAAGAAAGAGGUAGUAUAGAACAUGUCAGGAAAUUCAGCUAUGUUGUAGAUGGUCUGUGUAAGUCAUCUGCACAGUGCAUGAGUGUGGAGGUGGGCGGGCACUCAUUGGCCCUUGAACUCCUUUUGAGCAGUAUGGAAGCCAAGAACUAGAAGCCAGGAAAUGGGGUUGUAAAACUGAUUUGUCUAUGGAUUUUAUGUGUUGAGCUGCUGUGGUCUUGGCUUGUAGUAAUUACCUAUAUGAACCUUCCCCCCUCCCCUUUAGAAUUUAGGACAGGUUCAAAAGGCCCUCCAAUAUAAAAAUAAAAUACUGUCCUUCCCCACAAAGGAAAAAAUAGCUCCCCGGUUCAACCAGGAGACUUAGUCUUGCUAAAACCUUAAAGACAGGGUAAAGACAGGGAUACCCCAAGAAUCAAUUACAAUGAAAUGGAAGGGGCCUUAUCAGGUAUUGUUAAGUACCCCCACUGCUGUUAAACUUCAGGGAACACCUACUUGGGCACACAGAUCCAGGACUAAACCUGUUUCUUAUGAGUCACAGGCACAAAGGAAGGGCACUACAACCACAACCAAUAUCAGUAAAGCUUUGGAAGACCUCUGCUACCUAUUUAAAAUAAUCAACACUCAGCCAGAAGAGGUAAUGUAAUGCUGUAGAUGGGAAUAGGAGCAUUGAUCUUGCUCUUCUUCCUGACUGUAGUACUUCCUUUCUAUGGCUUUAACCAGCCACCUCCUCCUGGGAAACAUCUCCUGUGGGCUUGUUGGGUAUAGAAGCUACUCUAAGACCCAACCAGAUACCAUGAUGCCACUGUUAAUUCUGUUUGCUCUUCUAAUUAACCUAAGCUAGUGUGUAUGUGGACAGGGAGGGUGGACAAAAUUCUACAGUAAAUAUUUCAAAAAUUAUAGCAUCAUAGAAUCAUCUUUAUGGCUGCCAGAUUUGUCAUCAACACCCCCAGGAUAGACAGUUUCAUCUUCCGACCUAUCUGGAAAAUCUCAGGACCAUGUCCCCAGACCUCCUAACUAACCAUAGCACCCCAAAAUACCCAAACCCCUAUUGUGAAGUGGAACUCUUCCCCACUUAGUGGAUCCCCCCUGGACCCUGCUGUCCCCCUGCCCUGACCACUAUUAUCGGAAUCUGGGAAGUUGGGCAUCUAUAUCUCCAGUGCACUCAUAACUCUAACAUUUGCAUCCACUCUUGCAUUAAUGACACAAAAGUGGAAGCUUCCCUGCGAUGCUCUGGUCCAACUCUAGUUGCCAAGUUUCCAAGACCACGGGGAGGUAAAUGAGAUUCCAUUUGUGAGUGAAAAGACCAUAUAUGGUACCUUCUCCCGGAUGGGAACAUACAAAGGAAAAACAACUGCCUGAUCUGGGAAGGUGACAGUACUACCUUCUUCUAGAAAACAAAGAUUGUUCAACCACCACCAUGAGAACAGGUGGAAAAUAUCUCUAUAGACCCAACCUGGCAAUGAAGUAUAAACAUCGCACCCCGCAGGGCUUCUCUUGGUGCCCUAGUUGGGUUCAUUUUUGUUUGUGACUAUGAAUGGGAAGAAGUCACACCCUGUAACCACUCCAACUCCCUAAGGAGUCACCUCUUCUUUAAGGAAUAGCUUUCCCUUGUAUCUAAAAAACUUGGAACUGACAUGAAUGAACGUUGGCCACUCUUACCCCUCCAGGGGUCACAAUCUAUAACGCCUAGGACCCAAGAAUAUCAGAAAUAAGUAAGCAAUAAAACUAAUUCUGGCAGGAAUCAGGGUGGCAAUAGGACUAGCAGCACCCUGGGGUGGCUUUGCCUACCAUGAGUUAACGCUAAAGAACUUGGCUCAAAUCCUAGAAUCCUUAGCCACCAACGGAGAUCAGGCAUUAAAGAGAAUUCAAGAGUUCCCCAGACUCUGGAAAAUGUAGUUGUUGAUAACAGACUAGCAUUGGAUUAUUUACUAGCUGAACAAGGUGGGGUCUUGUGCAGUUAUUAAUAAAACCUGCUGCACAUAUAUUAACUCUGGACAGGUUGAGGUUAACAUUCAAAAGAUCUAUGAGCAAGCUACCUAGUUACAUAGAUAUAACCAGGGCACUGCCCCCAACUAUAUCUGGUCAACCAUCAAAAGUGCCUUCCCAAGUCUCACCUGUUUUUCACCUCUUCUAGGACCUUUGACAACUGUCUUGUUACAAAUGUUUGGUCCUUGCUUCUUUAACCUCUUAGUAAAGUUUGUGUAUUCUAGAUUACCACAGUUCCAGAGACAAUGCUGGCACAAGGCUUCCAGCCCAUCCUGUCCACUGACACGGAGAAUGAAAUCGUCCUGCCUCUGGGCUCCUUAGAUCAGGUAUCCAGAGAUUUUUACUCCUCCAGUGCCAGGCAGGGCCUACGUCCAUAAACUCAGCAGGAAGUAGUUACGGAAAACAGAUCUCCGCCCUUCUGCAGCCCCCUUAAGAUUAAGGAGGAGUAUCUAAUCUCUGAAGGGGGAAUGAGGUAGGAGGUGGGACUCAACUCUGGAAGUGGGGCUCAGGCACUCAGACCAAACUGAGCACUAGCUAAAAUAGGUCCAGGGCAGAUGCUAGUUUCCAUAGGACACACCGACCUGUGUCAAGUCAGUUCACCAUGGCUCUGGCAGCACCCAGAAGUUACCACCCUCACCCUGGAAAUGUCUGCAUAAACUGCCCCUUCAUUUGCAUAUAAUUAAAAGUGGAUACAAAUACCACUGCAGAACUGCCUCUGAGCUGCUACUGUGGGCGCACAGCCUGUAGGGCAGCCCUGCUUUGCAAGGAGCAGCGCCUCUGCUGCUGCUGUGCACAGCCGGCCGCUUCAAUAAAAGUUGCUAACACCACUGGCUUGCCCUUGAGUUCCUUCCUGGGCAAAGCUAAGAACCCUCCCGGGCUAUGCUUCAAUCUUAGGGCUCGCCUGUCCUGCAUCACUGGGAUCAUCUCCCAGUAAACUAGCCACACUUACAUCCAUGUGUCAGGGACAUUUCUGGAGAAAGCAGCCCAGGACACUGUUGAAUAAAACACACAAUAGUCUCUGUGGUCUUCUCCACCCCACCCCACACCAGGCACCCUCAGCUUGAUUCUCCUUUUUAAUUGCCUGUAAGCAGGGAAGCACAAUGUUUUCACAUUCUUUGUAAGGCCUUUGUUCUACUAAAAUCUAACCUCAGAGCACAAUUUUAAACUAGAUGAAAGAGUUGCUGCGCCUGAAGCACUGCAAACACCUCCUCACCACACAUGUGCACUCACCCUGGACACCCUCACUCACCCUGACACCCUCACUCCUCACCCUGGACACCCUCACUCACCCCAGACACCGUCACUCCUCACCCUGGACACCUCACUCUGCACCCUGGACACCCUCACUCACCCUGGACACGUUCACUCACCCUGACACCCUCACUCACCCUGGACACCCUCACUCACCCUGGAUACCCUCACUCCUCACCCUGGACACCCUCACUCACCCUGGAUACCCUCACUCCUCACCCUGGACACUCUCACUCACCCUGACACCCUCAAUCCUCACCCUGGACUCCCUCACUCCUCACCCUGGACUCCCUCACUCCUCACCCUGGACACCCUCACUCCUCAUCCUGGACACCCUCACUCAACCUGGACACCCUCACUCCUCACCCUGACACCCUCACUCCUCACCCUGGACACCCUCACUCCUCACCCUGACACCCUCACUCCUCACCCUGGCACCCUCAGUCACCCUGACACCCUCACUCCUCACCCUGACACCCUCAAGUCUUCACCUCCCUGGCUGCAGCCUGGGACACGCUUUCCCUAACUUCUGAAGGCUCAGUCCUCCUCAAGCCAAUCUCAUCUCAAAUUGCACCUCCUCAGAGAGGUCUUCCAUAACCGCCCUUAUAAAGCAGGAUUCUUUCACCAAUACCCCUUCCCACAUGGCACUGUCUCACAGCACUCCUCUAAAAGUCUGUUUACUUCCUUGACAAUCUGUCUUCCUUAUAAGGGGAGGUUCUGUAAAAGCCAAGACUCUCUCUGUCUAGUUGACUGUUGCAUACCAGGGCUUAGACCAAGGCCCUGACAUGCAGUAGGUGCUUAAUAUGUUUUGAGGCAAGGUCUUGCUCUGUUGCACAUGCUGGAGUGCAGUGGCACAAUCGUAAUUCAUUGCAGCCUUGAACUCCUGAGCUCAAGUGAUCCUCCUGCCUCAGCCUCCUGAGUAGCUGGGACUACAGGCAUGCACCACCAAGCUUGGCUAAUUUAAAAAAAAAAUUAUAUAGAUAGGGACUUGCUAUGUUGCCUAGGCUGAUCUUGAACUCCUAACCUCAAGCAAUCCUCCCACCUCGGCCUUCCAAAGUGCUGGGAUAAUAGGCAUGGAGCCGCCACACCCAGCCAAUGUGCCGAAGAAAGAAAGAAAAACAUGCUCAUCCUUUGAGUCAGGUUCAAAUUUUUUCUCCUCUUUAACCCCCAGUCACUCCAGUUAUAAGUGAUUUUUAACUCUUCUCACACUUUAAUGCAUCUGGCAAGAAGAUCCACGUGGUGUUAGGAACAAUACAGGACCUUAAGGAUGGGGGAAUCAGCAGGUGUCAGCGUGCCCUGUAUGCUCAGGGCAGCUGUUUCCACUGGACAUUCUCCCUUUGCCUCUCUGGGCAGCAACUCCUAGGCCAGCCGACCUGCUGUGUCGAGUAACCAGGAUUUCUCAAUCUUGGCAUGGUUGCCAUUUUGGACCAGAUCGUUCUUUGUUGUGGGGGCUGCCCUGUACGGCAAAGAAUGCCGAGCAGCACUUCCAGUCUCCACCCACAGGACGCCAGUAGCACCCUCUAAGUUGUGAGAACUCAAAAUGUCCCCAGAGGAUGCCAGAUGUCCCCUGGGGUGGGGACACAAUCACCCCAGGUUGAGAUCCAUGGAGCCAGGUCUGUUUGCCACCAAGGGGUAAAGCUCCAUUCCCACCUUAGGAGGGCUAGGAGGCAGCAUCGUGGGGCCACAGAAGGCCUGGGUUUGCAGUCAGAGGACAGGAUGCACAUUCCUUCAAGAUACAGACCCAGAUUGUUGGGCAUCUAGUUCUUGGGUUUUCUGUUGUUGCUGUUCCGUUUUGUCUGUCUUCCCUCCUUUGUUUACUAGCAGCCUGGAAUUUGCCACUUUUUCUAAACGAAGAUUUAUGGAACACUUACCACACGGCUGACGCUGCGCGAGGCUAAGGUUCUAAUACACCGCAGCUCACUUAACUCUCGCAAUACCAUAAACGCACACUGUUUCAUCUUGACCCUUUCUUGGGAAGGUGACAGAGAGGUAGGAGGGCAAACAUCUUGUGUGCCCCGUCCCAAGGGUAUUACUGGUGGAAUAAUAUCCGCCCCCCACCCCAGUUUCUAAUUUGCUGUAGGCUGUGACGCUGUGGGGCAAGACUAGGAGUCCUGUUGAAAUUAGGAAUAAGUGUGCUGUGAGGGAAGGGCUGCCUUAUUUUAGAGCACAGAUUUUCUGAAUAUCUAUUUUGACAGGUUCGAUCCUCUCCCCUUCCUGCCUUCCUUCUGUCGAUUUUCAAUGUCUUGAUGGUGUCCCACCUGAGUGGCCUUUAGAGAUGUGAGUUGUGAGGCACUGGGGAGGCAGGCACACGUCCUCCAGCCCAAGACUGCCUAAUUUAACAGGGAUUUCUGCAUUCUGGAACAAGCCUCCAUUUUCCCCAAGCAGGAUUACUCCAGAGGGCAAAACACAGCCCAAUAGUAUCACAUUUCCUUUCUGCUUUAGCAAAAAUAACCACUGUCUCAUUCAUGGGAAAAGGCCGCCAAACAAAUUUGUUACUGGAACCAUUUGUAACAACUUCUAGUUUGCACUGCCUUGGAGCAAGCACACUUUGUAGAGGAGGGAUUUGCAGUUACUUGGGCAACAAGGUAACCACUGAUCAUUACAGGAAGCUUCAGAAACCGUGGGACCAGUGUAGAAGAAUGGACUAUCUGUCCAAACUAAGAAUAAAAAGAAUGACACUUGUAUUUUGUAUGUCUUUUUCACUUUGCCUUUCUAGUAAUUCAUUUUUCUUGAUAUUUACACCUUGUGGCCCUGUGAUAGACUGGAAAUCUCAAAAACACACGUUCAGCACCAAGAUUUUCAGCAGCACCGCCUCAGAAUGAGACCCCUAGAAAAAACUGCGUGUUUUCCACUUGCCCAACACGAGGAGUUUUUGGAACACGACCUGCUUGAGGUGGAGAUUUUCUAGAUGGGCAAAGAGAAGGAAACACUUAACCUAGGAAGAGUAUUUAGGAAGAAGAAAGAACACAGCCUUUCUGCACAGGAAACCGCCGAGCAGAGGGGCAUCUGGCCUCUGCAGUGGCCUCCAAAUAGAGUCCAAUGGCUGGGGCCAGCGUGGCUGCUUAAAGGGGACUCAAGGGAUAUAAUAAAAUGCAGAUUCUCAGGUCCUAGUGCAGACAGGCUCACCCAAUAAGUCUGGACUGCAUAUGGGAAUCUCUAUUUCUAGGCCCUUCUGCAAGGUAUUCCUGCUCUUUCCAGGAACCAUCGGCAGCUGGUUUGGGGAAAGAAGCAACGACUCCAAGUGUGACCUGUGAGCUGGCAGCAGCCACCCUCAGCUCUGCUCUCGGUCACUGAAUCCGAUUCUGCAUUUUAACAGGACCCCAGGUGUUGCACCCACACAAAGCUGAAGCAGAUUGGUCUGGGGGCAAAAAAUUAGAGCUAUGGAGAUUCUCUCAAAUGAAAUAGAUGAUAUCAUUGACUGUUAGAGCUUCUAGAAGGAAUCUGAGGUCACUUGUUCAAAUUCCCUGAUUUACAGAUGAGGAAACAGAGGCUCAGACAGCUCAAAUGACUUCUCUCCAAUACCCAACAUUCGACAAGUAGCAGCUCUGGGACUAGUACCCAAAGCACCUAGCUCUCCAAUCACUGCGCAAGCCACACAAUUCUGUCUGCUUGUCAGUGGCUUUUCUGAUUCAAAAAAAGCUUAGGAAUUUCCCCAGGAGGCAGCACGAUGUAGUGGGAAGGGCUCUGGAUGUCUCUCCAAGGCUUCUGGAAUUCAUGCCCACCUCCACCAAGAAGCCACUUUCCUGCCAGCUACAGGUGCUCACCUGAAAAGCAAGCCAGACCAUAUUAACCCUGGCAUUGCUGGUACCUGGAAGACUUUCUGAUUCAAUGCUUUCCACCUCCUCCUACCCCUCACCACCCCCGUGGCAUGAAAUCCUGGGGGCUGCUUUAGAAAUUGUUUUCUUUGGCUGCUGGUGGGGGUGCUGCUGGUGGGGGUUUGCACAGCUGGCACACUGCACCAGUCUGGUGGGGGUUUGCACAGCUGGCACACUGCACCAGUCUCCUGCCUGCUGCCAACAAGGCCAUUUCCCAAGCACUGGCUUUGGAGAAGUUGGGGCUCUGAAGUGGGAACACAAGGCUGCCUUUUGCAGGCCAGGUGUAAAUUCUCCCCCUGCCACUUUCAGCCUAGCGUGAAACAGAUGGAGUGUGCAUUCCCACUUCCCUUUAUGGUACCCUGGAAUGAUGGAGCUGCCCAGGGCAUCGCCACGUUACUCUCUAGACAGUCUCUUUGUCUUCCUGCAAUGGCAGCGCCGAGGUUGUAUAUUUCUAGGUGCAGGUAUAUGAUUGCCAUAUAAUAAAAAUCUGAAAACAUCCCACCCGGGGCCUGGGCUGGACAGCAAGCAUUAGCACAAAACAAACACACUCAUUUCAUUUCCUUUAUGUGGUUAAUGUCAGCACUCCCAGAGUAUUCUCUCUUCUUUUGAGAAUUCUAAGAGCAAAAAAGUGACCACUUUUUUUUGUAUUGAGUAGCAAUAGUCAAAUAUCAAAUUAGUACAUCUAGGCCAAGAGAGGAUGAAGGGGAGCCAGGCCAGGAAAGUCACCCAGAAGAGGUGACACUCUCUUCCUCAGGUUCCACCAGAAACAUGUUUAUACCCAGGGAAAUUACAGAAGGGGUGCCAGGCUGCCCACCUGCCUCACAGGUAUGCCCUAUUGUCCGGGUAGUAUCUGUUACCUUAACAUACAAUGAACCCCAGUGUCUCACCAAGGCUGGGCAAACAGGGUGACCCAGAGGAGGGAUCCAUGACACACAGCAAGGGACUCAAGGACAGGCAGAGGCUCACAGUCAGUCAUAGGAGCCUCAGGUCACCUGGAGAGGGACCUCACUCACCAGCAAGGAGGACCACCACCCCGUUCCUGCUGUACCCAGUGUGGGGUUGGGGCAAGAGUCAGUGCCCACUAACCCCCCACCUCUUCUCCAGCACAGGUAGACCCUGAAUUCAGGGGCCAAUGCUUGACCUGCUCUAGUCUAUGAAUGAGAUGUUACAUAAAUCCCAAGGCAUGCUGUCAGAUACUAGGGAGAAGGAGAGAAACACCACCUUUAAAUUCCUCCCUCUCCACCCCUGGGAGCAAUGCAGCUACGUACCACCACCACAAAAGAAUAGCCACUUGGCCGCGCGGUGGCUCACGCCUGUAAUCCUAGCACUUUGGGAGGCCGAGGUGGGCAGAUCACUAGGUCAAGAGAUCAAGACCAUCCUGGACAACAUGGUGAAACCCCGUCUCUACUAAAAGCACAAAAAUUAGCUGGUUGUCGUGGCACACACCUGUAGUCGCAGCUACUCAGGAGGCUGAGGCAGAAGAAUCGCUUGAACCUGGGAGGUGGAGGUUGCAGUGAGCCAAGAUCAGGCCACUGUACUCCAGCCUGGCAACAGAGCGAGACUGUUUAAAAAAAAAAAAAAAAAAAAAAAAAGGCCACUGAUCACAACAGCUAUCCUUAUCAUUUUGGGAUCAUUCCAGGAGGAAAAAGGAAAAAUGGGCAGGCAAGGGGAGGUGAAGCCAACUUACCUACAACAAGGAGAUCACACAAGGAGAUCAGGGAUGAGUAUGGCGGGAAGUAUGGGGGGAAGCACCUGUUUCAUAUUAAAUAUAUCCUGAUUGAUAAGGGGGUUGCCUUAUAAUGUCUUUAAAACAUGAAAUACUGAAGCUUUCUACAUCCAUCCCAACAUAAGUGUUUAUUACUCAUAGGUAUUUAAAUAUCAUUGAUCUAAUCUUGUACACAUUGGAUUUCUCUCAUAUUAUACAUUAAUUUCAGCAAUUCUAGAAUUAGUGCAACAUGACAUGGGACAUUUUAAAUUCUUUUUUUCGAGACAGAGUCUCGUUCUGUUGCCCAGGCUGGAGUGCAGUGACACGAUCUCGGCUCACUGCAACCUUUGCCUCCCAGGUUCAAGCAAUUCUCCUGCCUCAGCCUCCUGAGUAGCUGGGACUACAGACAUAAGCCACCAUGCCUGGCUAAUUUUCAUAUUUUUAGUAGAGAUGGGGUUUCACCAUGUUGACCAGGCUGGGUCAGGUCAAACUCCUGACCUCAGGUGACCCGCCCGCCUCAGCCUCCCAAAGUGCUGGGAUUACAGGCAUGAGCCACCGCGCCCCGCCUGACAUUUUAAAUUUUCAAGCAGUUACUCUCCAGCAGGAAAAACAAUACAGAAGUACAGAAGGGAAGCAGAAACACUCCUCUCUUCCUUCUCCCACCCUAAGCCCCAGGGCACUCUCUUGCCGCAGGCUUCAUAUCAAUACAGCACUAAAAUCGUCAUUUGUGUAUUGCCUGUGAUAACAAUUACACUUGAAUCCCAAAUUGAAAUUAUUAACAAUUAAAAGGUGAGGUAGAAUCAAAGAAAAAAAAUCCAUAGAAUGAAAAACUUAGAAUGAACUUGUUGUGGAUUAAAUCAUGUUCCCCAAAAGAUAUGCUGAAGACGUAACUCCGGUACCUGUGAACUUAACCUUAUUCAGAAAGUGGGUCUAUGCAGAUGUGAUGAAGUAAAGAUGAGGUCAGGUUAGAGGAGGGCAGGCCCUAAUCUAAUGACUGGUCUCCUUAUAAGAAGAGAGGAAUUUGGCCACAGAAACUUACAUGGAGGGGAGAGAUUGGAGUCAUGCGGCCAAGGGUCAAGAAAUGCCAGCAGCCAUCAGACACUAAGAAGAGGGAAGGAAGGAUCCUCCCCCAGAGCCUCCGGAGGGACAGUGUUUCUGCUGUCGCCUUGCUUUUUGAACUCUGGCCUGCAGAAUUAUGAGAACAAGUUUCUAUUGUUUUGAGACCAGGACAUUAAUGCAGAAAUUUGAUUCUCCACAGCUGAGGAAAGGGAAGAUGAGGGAGGUUACACACUUGCUCCUGGUCACAGGUGUGACACUACAGUGCUCAGGACCUGUAAUCACAUCAGGAUGCUUCCUGUCAAACCACAUCAUCUCCAGAAGCAUGAAGAUGGUUCUUCUUAAAAAGUUACUGUAACUAAAACACUGCACCUAAGGAGGAACGGCAGUGACGUGCAAAGACUGAGCUGGGCUGACCCAGAUUGACAGCUCCACCCUGCUUUGCCUUCACUAGUGUGGCCCUGGACAAACUACUCUGCCUCUCCAAGCCUCGGUUACCCUGUCUGAAAAUUAAGUCACAUUGUUGUGCACAUUUUCCAGGACGUUGCAAGGAUACAAUGAGGUGAGCCACGCACAGGGCUUCACGUGCCCUUUGAGUGUCCAACACUCCAUCAGCAAGAAAUCAAGGUCAGCUCUUGAUCUUAUAAACUAUUUCUCAGACUCCUGUCCCUCCUUGUUGUUUCAAGCUGAUUUCUUGGCUCACCUUUCCCAGUCCUCUGUAAUACAGUCUUUGAUGAAUUCUUUCUCUAAAGCCCAGAAGCUGCCACUUCUCACUCGAAGGAGCUGGUGGCAAACUGGCUUUGACUUUCUUGUUCUUUCAACCUCAGUAAUUGUUUUUUCUCAUUGUCUUUAAUAGUUUACCAUUUCAAGUGGCUCCAUCAGAUUUCUUCUUGCUGGGAUUGCCUUCUUGUUUUCAGCCUCACCUACAGUCAGCUUCAUUUGGGGAGCCUGGAUGGCUUCUUCUGAAGAACACAAACUCUUAUUGCAUAUGCUGGAUCCAUAUUUUCAAUACAAGUCUUCCAAAUAAUUGUGUACUAAGAGGCUGAUAAUCAAGUGAAUGCACCAUGAUUAAAAUAGGAUUCGCCAAAAUAAUUAGGUGGCCCUUUACAUUCAAGUGUUCAGGUAUGAGAAUAGUUUUGCUGUCUGCUUUACCUAUGUUAGUGGAGAUGACAGAAAAUCUUUCAGAAAAAGAAUCCCAAAGGCUUUUUUUGAAGCUACUACAAGGUAUAUGGCUGCACACCUUCUCCUGUCUUCAGCUGGAGUUAUUGUGUUAACAUGAAAGUCUCUUUUUUCAUAAUAGAAAUUGCUGUAAUUAUAAUUACUUUAGAAGAGUGUUAUUAUUAAUAAGACCAAAUUGCACGGUUCAAGCAGGUGCUGGUUGAAAGAACUGUUCAAAAGUUCUACAGUUCGAAAGAACCCACAUAAUGGGAUCAGCCGCAAACCUGGCAGUCAUCUCCAUGCCAACGUGGCCCUGCCUGCCAGCACACACGCCUUGCAGCUCUCAGGCGGGCUUCCGGGCACAUGCCUGUGACUCCUCACAGAGUCACUGGGCUUUAAACAAUGGACCUCUAGUUCCUGAUUAAAGCCUUCGGGGAACAAGCACACUUCCAACAGUUGACUUUCCCAUAAAAGAAGGGGAGCUGGAGGGCUCUGGUUCCUGUUGAACCUCUCCUCUCAAGGCCUCUCCCGUGCACACCUGGAUCCAGCCCUUCAUUCUGUUGCUCAUUCAGCAGUGCUGAAGGAAAGAGGAGAUGGGGGAACAGCACGGAGUUCCGGAGGGUCCAGUUGCAGUCAUACAAUAAGUCCCUAACACCUUGGGGUGUACGUUCAGGGUUCUCUGGCUAGAAAGGGUAGUUUGAGGCCAAAACCAAAGAGAUCAGGAGGCAUGAAGGGAAGGAAGUCGUUAUCUGUCUGGUGGUUCAGAACUUGGCUUCUGAAGUUCAGCUCCCUGGCUUCCAUUUUUGGCCCUCCCUCUUUCUUGCCCUGUUGCCCUGGAAAGUCAUUCAGUCUCUCCGAGCUUCAGUUUUCCCACCCCCAAAUGCGUAUAAGACCCCCGAGGGGUGGUGGGUGGUGGGUGGGGAUUCCUGGGAAAGCACACCUAAAGCACAGAGCGCAGUGCUUGUCACGUACUGAGCUUUCAGACAUUGUCUAUGACUAUUACUUAAUUCUUGAAAAAUUCUUGGUUAUUUAUUGCUUGAAUUUACAAUUCCAUUUUUCUCUCCACCUAAGCAAUUUUUAUUUUAGGCUUCAGAGAAUCAGCAGAGAAUAAAUGCAUGACUCCUGGCCAUUAAUAGAGCAGGAAAGCUCACUCCAGGUUCAGAAGUCACCUCACUGCUGCCCCCUCUAGCCGGCUGCUGACACCCUGCUGGUGGUCAGAGACAUUUCAGGGCAACACAGGCAGGUAGUGAAUCCUAAUGCAGUAGUCAGGAAAGCCUGACUUUACAGUAGGCAUUUGGAAAGAUUUGGUUAUAAAGCAGCUUAUCGCUAAAUCAAGCCAGGAGGGAGGUACAGGAUAUUUCAUUCCCCAUCACAUGUAAAAAUUAAAUCUGUCUCUGUAGAAGCAGCGCUCCCUGGAAACAUGCUAAUGGUUGAGAAGUAAUCUUGAACCAACUACUGCCUUGGCUACGGUAAAGACAGGAGCCUAGGUACUCAAUACAUUUCUGUUAAUUAAAUUAAUUAAACCUCAUCAUUUUAAAAUAAAGGUCAUUGAAUUAAUUAACAGGCAAGUUAUUAUUUAUAAAAGCUUUUUUUUUUUGAUUGCCAAAGUUAAGUAUUUUUUAGUCCUUCUUCAGGCUUCUCCCUUUCCCCUUUGCUCUGGAGGGAGGGUUUCAGGGCUUCUUUUAUCAUAGCCCUCAGACCACCCACAUUUACUUUUAGUAGAGAGAAUUCCCUCGCAUCAAAGCACACAUGUCCAAUGGGGAUUCAUUCAAGGCCUGUUCCAAAAGAUUCUCUGCAGGUCACAGAAGAGGUUCUUCCUCAAUAUCUUGUCAUAUUUCCAAGGUUCUCAGCACCAGGCACAUGUUCCCACGUGUUGGCUGCACCAAGACCACAUCUUACAGCCAAGUUAAGCUCCCUCAGCUGAUGGGGAUUCCUAUUCCCUCCCUCUAACCAUCCACUCCUGGAGAUGGCAAAGAUCACUCACGUGGCUUCCCAUGACUUAGACGAAAGGCAACUAGAAUCAAAGUUUGAAUAUACGCUUUUGAAGGUUUUUUUUUCCCCCUAAACUAAUUAAACAACUACAGAAGUUAUUCGGCAGUUUCCUUUUUUAAAAGAAUUAGCAUGGCAUGUCUUUCCUCUUAAAGUCUUGAAUAAUUUAAUGAGAAUUAUACAAAAGUCAUGAGUAUGUUCUAUUUAUGGGGGAAUCAUAGCUGAAUCAAAACCCAAAUGACAAUGUUAAAAAUAAAAAUAAACUAUCUUCAAAUAGUGCAUUCAAUUGAGCAAAGGACUUCAAAUCCCACUUGGAUUAGACAGUUUGAAAGUAGGAGGGGGCAGAUCAAUUGGGAUUUUUUUUUUUUUUUUUUCAGAUCACUGUGCUUGGGAACAUUUGUUUCUUGCUACAAAAAGUGUUAGUAAAUGAACAUCAGAGUAAGAGAAAAGGAAAGCUGUUUGAUUUUAUUUUUGUGUUGUAAUCGGGAUACCACUUGGUCCCCGGACACCUCACUCAGCCCCUGUUUUUUUCCCGGUAGCUGGAAUGCUUUUCACACUCUGCACACCCGCGUGUAGAUGCAUCGCUCCGUGCAGAGGGGCAGGGCCGCCGGAUGAGCGAGGACACAGCUGACAAACCAACUCCGAGAAAGGAAAGCGGGCGCAGGGGAGACGCUGCUCCUUCCUCAGAGCAGCAAGCGAGCCACUUCUUAACCGGGUUGCUUUUAGCUGAGCUCAUGCAUAAAUCCUUUUUAAAGGGUACUGCGCCUUUGGAAGCCGGCCACGAGCCUCUUUAGCAAUGAGACAGCAUGGUGGUGGGGUGGGGGGGGGGCGGGGGGGAGGGAGGGUAUGAACACGAGGUGAUUUUCCCCAUAAUAGCCCGUCGCCCAAGGCCCACCGCUCCGUCUCCCGCUGGAAGUAGGUGUCGCCCGCAAGAAGGAAAUCACGUUAUUGGAGGCGGCAAGUUCCAGGUCUCCUCUCCCGCCCAGCCCCGCGGAGGGGGAGCUCACAAGUUCUGAAACACUCGCGCACACCCCUCAGUGCGCCCCGGGCGGGGGCUGCCGUCCUCCGCGACUCAAGAGCGAGCGCCCCCGCUCCCCGGCCCACCCGAGCCCCUCUGCGUUCCCCGCUCUUCUGUGCGGGGACAGCUGCUGCUUUGGGGGCGACGCUAAGCCGCGUGGAGGCGUCUCUGGACAGCCCCCUCCCUCCAACGAGCCCGAAAAGCCCGCGGCAGCAGCCGGGGGUCCCUACCUUCUGCGGGGGGGUCCCGAUCAGCAUCUCCAGGAGGCACUUGAAGUACAGACAAAGAGAAAAGUCUACCAAGGAAAGGGAGAAGAGCAAGCUGAGGACGCCAAAGAAUCUUGUUUGGGAUCUGCAGAUAGCAACAAGAAUCUUUAAUAACCAGAGACAACACAGGAAGAUACUGGGCUUAGGUCUUGACUUCCAUAUGCUUGCAAAUUCUGCUGGGAAAGAAAACAGAAGAGGAAAAUGGAAAUUGCAUGUAUAUGGGGCCAUCCGUGGUUUGGUGAUCUUGGCUAUCUUUUCUGCACAUGACCUCACUGGCCUUCAAUCUCAAUCUCUCUCUCUCUCCCUUCUCUCUCCCUCUCUUUCUCUCACUCUUUCCCUCUCUCACUUUCUCUCUCCUUUCUUCCUUUUUAUGUCCUUUGCAUGUUCUCAGGCCCACUUUCAUGUCUGUCUUCUAUCAAUGAGGGUGACUGACUCUGGAACCCCAGGACCAAGCAUCUCAGGUAAAGCAGAGAACUUACCCGGAGAAGCAACACUUAUUGUUGCUGGCUAACAUUUAUUGAGCACUUACUGUAUACAAAUGCCAACGCUUUACCUUUACUAAGUCAUUUAAUCCUCCCAUCAACCUGAUUUUAACAGAUGAGGAAUCUGGGGUACAUAAGGGUUACAUCACUAGCCAGAGACUAAUUGGCAGUGGUGGGGGAAGGUAACUGAUAUGAGAUGAUUUUGUAUUUGAGAAUAUUUUGCAAAAUGUAAAAUCCUAUACAAACUUAAAUAAGCAUCAGAGCUCUGUUAUUCAUGCAUCUCUAGGGAAUAGGAAGCUUAGAUGAUUUCAAUACUUGAAUAAAGUAUUUUACUGCAUUAAUAGCUUACAAUAUUAAAAUAACGACGUUGCAGGGUAUGAUGGAUGAACAGUAUCAUCAGGGGCUUCAGUAGCAACUCUUCAGAGCCCUUUCUGGGUAGCAGAUGUGACAGCUGCAGCAGUUAGGUUCUCCUAACCCACAACAACCCAAAGGUACUUUCACCGUGACCACCCCACAAAUGAGGAAACAUUCCUUAGUUACUCAGGUAGUGGCAUCCUCCAUUCUUCCAAGCCUUGACCUGUGCUCCACAACUGCAUUGUUGAAAGUGAUCUUGGGCUUUUUUCCCCAACAGCUGCUCAUAUCGGGUUCCAUUUCUCCUCCUGCUGGAGAAGCCUCACCAGGUCCUGGUGCACACAGGAAGGUUUCCCUGACCACCCCAAGCUCAGAGACCCCAUUCUCCCCCAUCACACACACACACAUGGAGACACUCAACCUCCACACACACAAGCACACAUCACACUUACACACUGUCUCGCCACACCACACUACACACCUCACAUCACACACCCAGACACAUACAUCACACACCACACACACAUCAUAUACACUCCCUCACCACACAACACUACACACCAGACAUCACAUACUCAGACACACACAUUGCAUACCGCACACACAUCAUAUACACUCCCUUACCACACCACACUACACACCACACAUCACACACUCAGACACACACAUCGCACACCACACACACAUCAUAUAUACUCCCCCACCACACCACAUAUCACACACCCAGACACACACAUUGCACACCACACAGACAUCAUAUAUACUCCCUCACCACACAACACUACAUACCACACAUCACACAAGCAAACAGCACACAGGACACACACGCUAUACACCACACACAUAGCACACACACAUCACACACGCCACACAUAUGGCACACACAUUGCACACCACACGCGGCACACACAUUGCGCAUGCAAUGCUACACACACACAAUACAUACUACAUACCACACAAACACAUCACAUACUACCACAUACAGACACAUACACAGCACACCCAUACACAUCAGUAUCUCUUGAUGGCUCGUUAGCCAUAAACCGCAUUGCAUCUGCUCUCACACCAGCCCCCCUGUGCUCACGCAGGCUUUCACUUGGUCCUGCCCCAAGCACCUUCAGGACAGGUGCUGUGUCACGCUGCUGCCCCUGAGGCAUAUGGCUGGUCCCCGGCUGUCCUAGACUGCUCGUCAAGUCCCCCUGCCUCGACCUGUGCUCUGGAGGACUGGUGACUCUCCAGUACCAUUGGAUGGGGCUUCCAUGUGGAAUGGCCAGAGGGGCUGGACAUUUUCUGAGACACAGACUAUGGCUGGCUGCUUUUGGUUGGUGGUCCCAUGAAGCCAGCCACAAGCAGAACCCCUGGACACUGACUCAGUUUCCCCAAGACUACUUGACUGAGGGAGGGCUCAUCAACCCUGGCAGGUUUUUCUCAAACAACUCCCUGUCCUCCCGGUCCUCACCUCACCUGCAUCCUGUGCCCUCCAUCCCCACCAGGAGGGAGGAGAAAACCAACCCCAAUGGUGCCCGCAUCUGGAAUUAUCUCCCUGGCGCUCAGGUCAACAGCCUUUCCAAGAACACUCGAUGUGAGCAUCUGCAGCCUUUGCUUCUCAUUUCCUCCUAAGAGGAGCCCCUGGGAUGCUAUGAAGGAAAGCAUAUGGAGGGCAAAGGAGACUCACAGAUUAAUGCUUGGAAUUCUGUCCCAUGACAUCCCAUGCUCUGACCUUGUGGCACAGGGCCUUUGGAUGCCGCAAGUGGUCAUAGAGGCUGACAGCGCAUGUGCCCCAUGUUGAGCUGGACUUCUUCUAAGCAGCUACAGUAUCAGCUUAUUGAGUCUCCAUGACAGCCCCAUGUUGACCUGGCUUCUUCUAAGCCGUUACAGUAUCAGCUCAUUGAAUCUUCACCACAGCCCCAUGUUGACCUGGGCUUCCUCUAAGCAGCUACAGUAUCAGCUCAUUGAAUCUCCGUGACAGCCCCAUGUUGACCUGGCUUCUUCUAAGCAGCUACAGUAUCAGUUCAUUGAAUCUUCACCACAGCCCUGUGUUGACCGGGGCUUCUUCUAAGCAGCUACAGUAUCAGCUCAUUGAAUCUUCGCAACAUCAUGCAUGGCAGAUCUAACAAUUGUCACCCUUGUUUACAGAUGAGGAAACUGAGGCACAACUGGCAAGUGGCAGAAACUGGUUAAAUGCUCAAUGAGUAGUUGUUGAAUCUUAGAAGGAAGAGGAAGCUCGUUCCGCUCCGCAGCAGCGGCAGGGUGGGGCUGCCCUGACCCACCUACACUGUCUUUGAGCAUUUGGUGCCAUUUUGGGAUAGUGAGGUUCCUUUUCACAGGGGAAGCUGCAGUGUCUCCCGGGGAUGGUAGCCUUUUCGAGAAGCACAACCAGUUAGCUUGCAGAAGUGGGGACGCGACUGUUCUGCAUCUCCCUCUCCACGCACCCCCACUUGCAGAAACAGCCAGCCGCUCUGUCACUGAACCUGCACGAAAUGCCCUGUGUCUUAGGAAAAUGAACAGUGUCUGUUUAUCCAAGAUGAAUCUACUCUAGAUAAGAAUGUAUCAACCUCAGACCACAUUGUGUCUGCAAAUAUUUUUCUCCGUUUCCCGAUUGUUUAAUGGACAAAGCGGGUUUGGGGGAGCUGGGGAGAGUUGGGCAGUUCUCACUGAGCACCAGUCCUUGUUCUUGAGCCUGUAGUUUUUGUCUCCACGGCUGCAGAGACUGGCCAGGGUCUCAUCUGCCAUCCACCUUCAGAAUGGUGGAAACAGUUGAAAAGAACAUUGCAGUGAAGCUUGGGCUGGUUUGCAAGCAGGUCGCAUCUUAGAAACCCUCCUUGCCGCUUUCAUGGCAAAUGCUCACUUUCUCCAGACCCCCUUGCUUGUGUGGGCAGGGGUCGGCAUGCACGGGGUUCCUUUUUAGAAUAUGGGUGCAAAUAUCACAACAGUUUGCAUAAGUCUCCAACCGCUUUUUCCUCCUGUGAAUCAAACUUGCUUUUUUCCCGGUUAGAAUAUUGUGAAAGCAAAACAAACAAAUAAACAACAACAACAAAAAAGAUGUGGGUUGGUUCGCCUGCUUGUGCGUAUUUCUUUCAGUGGGGUCAAUGAAUCCCCCAUUGUUUGCUCCUACAGGCCCCUCAUUGUGUCCAUGGGUAGCCCUGUACCAGGUAAUGAAAGGAUUUCUCUUAUGUUUCUGUUCUUUGUUUUCAAGGAACAACAGAGAGAUGGUAUUUCCAGACAAGGGAAUAAAUUCCCGGAAGCAACUGGCCAAGGAAUGAAAAUCCUGGAGAACAGAGUGGAAGAAACGCGUAUUCCACAUUUCCUGUUGAUUUUCUUUCCUCCCUAAACACUGACCUCCCGCAGUCUUCACUAGCAGGGUGUUCUGGCCUCCAGAGCAUCUGGAUGGGUUCCAGGAUAUAAAUGUGACACUGUCAUUGCAUUAAAGUAGUCGAGCUGAAACCCCUGAAAACAAUCGUAGGACGAUGACAAGGUUUUGGCAGCUGCAAUCUUAAAGACCAGGAAGUGAGUUGCUUCCAUGGGAGCAGAGAGGCUGACCACAGUCUUGGGCAGCUCCAGUGGGCCUGGCGUGGCACUGCGCACAGAGCUGAGUGGGUCUGGCAGGUGGCAGAAUGUGACCUCACCUAAUGAGUAGGAAGGGAGGGCUUCCUGGACAAUUUCUCACGUUCUCAGAAUAAAUGAGAAUGAGGGCUGGGCAUGGUGGUUCACACCUGUAAUCCCAGCACUUUGGGAGGCUGAGGUGGGUAGAUUGCUUGAGCCCAGGAGUUCAAGACCUAUACAAAUAAUAAGAAUAAUUUAAAAAGCCAGGCAUGGUGGCACACACCUGUAAUCCCAUCUACUCAGAAGGCUGAGGCAGGAGGGUCACUUGAGCCCGGAGGUCAAGGCUACAGUGAGCCAUGAUUACACCAAUGCACUCAGCCUGAGCAACAGAAUGAGACUCUGUCCAAAAAAAAAAAAGAAAAAAAAGAAAAGAAAAAAGCUGGGCACAGUGGCUCACGCUUGUAAUCCCAGCAAUUUGUGAGGCUGAGGUGAGAGGAUUGCUUGAGUCCAGGAGUUCGAGACCGUACUGGACAACAUAGUGAGGCCCUGGCUCUAUGAAAAAUACAAAAACUUAGCCAGGUGUGAUGGUACGUACUUGUAAUCCCAGCUGCCUGGGGGGCUGUGGUGGGAGGAUCACCUGAGCCUAGGAGAUCAAGGCUUCAAUAAGCAGAGAAGGUACUGCUGUACUCCAGCCUGGGUGACACAGCAAAUCCCUGUGUCAGAAAGGAAAUGAAAGGAAAGAAAAGGAAAGGAAAGGGAAGGGAAGGGAAAAAAUGAGAGUAGCCACAUGAUUCUGUCAUUUAAAUCUCACAGGGUAACAGAAGCAAAUCAUCAGUGCCUGUCUUUGAACUUGAUGAAACUGUCUCAGCCUCAUGACCUGUGGUACUAGACAGAGACCACAACACCUUGUCUAUCCAGAGUGUGGGAGCACUGUGUGCAGUUAGCUCCUGGAGGCUUGUCCUCAGUAGGCUUAGGGCAUGAGGAGCCCUGGAAAGCCCAGGACCCCAUGGAGGGCCCUGGAGAAACAGCACCUGUGGCUGAGGGGUUCACAGGCCCAGCGAGAUCCACUCAGGUGAGGUCACCUGUAGAGGUCAUGCUGCGGAGUCCCGAGUCCCUGAUUAUAUUCAAGACGUGGAGCUCUCUUUUUCCCGUCCUGCUUUCUUUCCAGAAGUGCCUCAGAUGCAUCCUCCCCUUCUCUUUUCUCCACAUGAAGACGUCACUGACCAUCUUCUCUGGUUUGCUUUCCAACACCGAGCACCAAGUGCUUCAAAGGUCAUGGUGCCCUGGGGCCGAGAGCUACUUAUGUGGGCAUUUAUAACCAAAUAAAUAUUGAAAUGGCCCACAAAGCAAAUGUUAGUGGUAACCAACAGCGGUAAAACUGGGUACAUGGGACCCUGAACCUUCUUGAAUAUUCCCCAUGAGACCCUGGGCCGACCUUCGGGCUUUCCAGUGUGCUCAGAAAAUCCUCCGUGGCUCCCAGCCCCAGCUUAGUCUUUCAACGGUCCUCGGACUGAAGCAAGAGACAGGGAAGGAAUUGUCCAAGGUUUUCCAGCAUGCUGAGAACACUUACCAUGGUGGAGCCUGGCACGUACUGGCUCUUUGAUGCAUGUGUAUUGGUCUCAAGUAGCCAGAAGCAUCUCCUCUGAGAGCCCUUGCCCUCCAGUUUAAAUGGCAAAUGGAAGGGAAUGGGUUCUGGAAGGCCCCAGGUGGGCUGGGGUGGGUUCUGGAGACCAUCUUCCAACUCCUGUUCAGGAGGAGGGUUGGUCAGAUCAGCUCUGUGGCCACCUGGGCUCUGGAGGGGCGAGAUACGGGCAGGUGCGGCCACAGGAGGGAGAGCACCAUGUGCGGGGGAAGCCCACAGCUGGAACCAAAAGGCCCCAGGAGGGAUCCUGGCUCUGACAUCUCCCAGCCGUGUGGCCUUGGGCAAGGUCCCUGACUUGGACCUCAGCCUCCUCAUCUGUAAAACAGGCAGAACAGUAAUACCGACCUUGUAGGUUGUAUAGAGUUCAUAUACAUCAAGCACUUACCACAGUGCCUGGCGGACCGCAUGCCCUAAACACACAAUCCGUGAAAUGAAUCCAUCAGCAAGCAGCUGCUAGGGGCAGUGUGGGGCAGAGAGGCAGCUGCCUGCUGGAACUGGCUGACAGGAGGAUGAGUGUGUGGCAGGAGGAACGCUCUGCACAGAGGACACUAGGUAGCGUCACCUGUCUCUUACCCUGUGUCUCCACUGGAAUGGAAUGUCAGACUCGCACCAUGCAUUCCUUUCCCUGCCAAAACGCCUCCUCUUAGCAGUGAGCAAGAAAGUUGUUCGAGUGGAUGAAGCCAAAAGCCCAUUUGGCAAGAGUGCUGUUUUGGAAAAUGCUUAGCGGUGUGGGUUGGGAUGAGGUUUUCUGUGCCUUUCCAUUAUUUCUUCAGCUUCAUGUAACCCUGACUGAGCAAUGCUCAGCAGAGUGAAGGCUGGGCAGCAGAUGGACAAGAUUUUCUCAAACUCCUUUUUAAGCCAAUUUCAAAAUAGAGAGAGGGAAAAAUCCUUGUUUUCUCUUUUCGGUUUUGAGAGGUUUCAUAUGCAGACACAAUUUUAAAUUUUAUUUUUUUUGCCCCCAAUGAGAUGUUUGGAGAUGGUGGUACUAGAACAGGAAGGAAUUUAUAAGUAUUGGGGAAUUUUUCAUCCCAAUUCCCAUAUCCUCCUAUAAUUCAAGGAGUGAAUGGGUAGUGUUUUUGUUUUUGUGAGAGGGGUGGCGGAGGGUAGAGAGAGAAAGAGAGAGAGACAGAGAGAGAUUACAUAGAGGUGUCCAAAAUGAACACAGUAAAAACCAGUUUUGAUUAAUUCUGCAAUAUUAAGUAGGCAGCCAAAAAUUUUGGUCUGCUUAAUUCUUAGCUCAUCUAAGUCUCCAGUUGACUGAUUGAUUGAUUGAAUGACUUAUUCAACAUGCGCUAGCCAGACACUGGUCUAGGGCCCAGGAAUUCAGCAAUAAAUGAAACAAGACCAA